ACCAAAAUGCAUGGGUAUAUAGCCGACAUUUUUUACUGAAAACUAGCAUAAACAGUGGUACAUGAUUCAUUACAUGUUAAAACCGAUAAAACGAACUUUAUUGAUCCGGACAUAGAAACAACAAAAAAAGCAUUUUAUAAGUAUCAAAACGUUGGAAAAUCAAAUGUACAACCAUCUCAAUAACGAAAAUAGACCGGAACAAUAUAUUUCACCCAAAAGAAUCUUAAAUAAGCAGUGUAUUUCAAUUCAUGUAAUAAAAUCAACCAACACAACAAGGCACAGGAAGAGAUGGUGUUGUGCCACAAAAUAACCAUAGAAAAAAUUUAAAUAUUGGCUCGUUGGCACGUGGACUAGAUGAGCUCUUUCGAAAUAUUAUUCGUCAUCACUUAUCAGAGGCUGAUUAGAUGCUGAGAGUGGUCUUGUAGGUGGUGCCAGCCUUGAAAUCGGCGGGGAUGACAUCAUCGGCGAUACGGUAGCCGCCAGACUUGGUAGCAAAGCGGAUGCAGAGGGGGUACUUGAGCGGGGCCUUGGUGUCGAGCGUCCAAGUGCCAGCUGGGCCCUCCUUGAGUGUAAAGGAGAAAUCGUCGCCGCCAUGCUCCUUGAUCUCCACGUCAGAGAUGGUGGCAAUGUUAGGGGUGAGAACCAGGUGGCCAGGCUUGGAGCCCUUGCCGACCUGGAAGGUGAGUGGGGUGGUGCACGAACCGAAUGCGAACAACAUAGCCAGUGCCGUUGUGGCAAGCAGGAUAGAGUACCUUGAGGCCAUUGUUGGUGGCGAGCUAGCGAUGUAUUUGUUUCUAUGUGCUUGUUUCUUUCACGGAUGUGUGUGUUGUGUCUGUGUGGGGAGAUCGGUGUUGUAGUCGGGCACAUAUUUAUGGACGAUGGAGGAGGCAAGGAAGUUGGACAUUGGUGUACGGCGUGCCACAGAUAUCGCUGGCUGACUUAUUUUUGUUCCUCGAAAAAACCUCGGUCGGUUGUUCAAAGACCAACACGUGUACACAACUACUAUAAAUAGGUCUGAGCUCGGUGGGCCUGAUUCUUUUCUUCUAACAAAAAAGUUCAAAAUAAAGGCAUGGCAUGCAGUCCUCUCGUAAAAGAAAAGAGAAGAAAAGCAAAAGCAUGCACUCCUCAUUAGCUCUCUACUUACUUCCUUUUAAAAAACUAUAAAUAGUAAAUCACUUUCACUUUUGUUCCACUCAUUUCCCAUUUUUGCUUUUUUGACCCUUUUUGAGAAAGUUUUUCUCAAGUAUGCCCUUUUUAGUUUGAAUUCUGCAUCCCGCCUUCCUCUAGGCCCACACCAUCUUGGUCGACCUCCCUCCCCACGCAGUCGUUCCCAACCGUAUUUUUUUUUGCCUUUUGACCCUUUUGAGAAAGUUUUUCACAAGUAUGCCCUUUUCAGUUUGAAUUCCGUCGAGGUAUCGCUCCGUAGCGAGCGUCGAGCGCUUAUGUGGCAGGGGUCGUCGCCCGUGCCUGGUCCUAUGUACAAAAUAAAUGGACACACCAACGAAAACAUGAGUCUACUAGGGUUUGAACCAACAACCGCGAAUAUUAAAGCUCAUGUCUCUAACCAACACAACUUAUGAUUAUUUGUGCUAAACAAAGAAAAUAUUUUUAUUUGAACAAGUGACUUGAUGAUGUGCAUAUGUAUUGUUUGAUGGACGUGCUUAAUCACUUAUUUGAUCUCGAAAACACAAACUAAUAUCCACAUUAAGCUGUUGGUAUGUGCACGAUCUAUUUUUUCACACUAAAGCACAAUGGAUUAUUGAGGAAUUCGAACUUUCUGUAGACUUCAGUUUAAUCCUUAUGUAUAUGUAUAUAUAUAUAUAUAUAAAACAUAUACAAAUAUUGGCACACAGUUUCUAUUUACAACAGUUUCUAAACAGCUCCCAUUUUCUGUCGUCUCCAGCAAUCAUACGCACGUACGUGCUCCAGGUCAUAGCCGUAGUGUUACGAGUUUUCAUUUCAGCUACAUGCCAACUGAUAGGUACUUGCAAUUCUACAUGUUUUCUUUUUAGGUUACUGACAUGGAGGAACGGGAAAUAACUCCAUGAAGCGCUUAAGACUUAUCCUAGACGUCCAUGAGUGCAAGGACGACUUAUCCUACACGUCCACCAUUAUUAGGAGGGCUACUAACGCACGAACGCAAGGGCUAAGCGACCGUUUGCGGGUGGCAGGGGUUGGUGCUGUAAGGGAAAUGACUUAAUCAUUUCCUAUAAUCGAUUUUAGUGGUUGACGUCCAUCACAAACCACGUCGACUAAUUAGUUUGCCAAGAUGUCUUUUUAUCUCAGAUGCAUAAGGUUUAACACAAACCAAGAAAGAAAUUAAGUUAGGGACCCAACAAAGUUUGGAGCAAAGACUUGAGAGUGUGCUGCCAGUGGCGCACCGGACAGUGUCCAGUGCCCUAGGCCGAGCACCACUCGAACAUGCCACUCUCGGGUUUUUCCAAGCUCCGCUAUAAUUCAUCGGACUGUCCGGUGUGCACUGGACAUGUCCGAUGAGCCAACGGAGCAACGGUAACCUGGCGCUCAACGGUCGACUGUGUGAACAGUAAAAGCGCACAGUGCAGAAGUCAGAUGUCAAGCUGCGAAGUCAGAACACACCAGACAUGUCUAGUGUUCCACCCGACUGUCCGGUGCCGCAAGAGAACAGAAGACUUCAACGGUCAAGCCACUCCAAACCCCAACGGCGUGCUGACGUAGCACACAUCGGAUAGUGAACAGUACCUGUCCGGGGCACCGCCGGACUGUCCGGUGUGCCCAUCGACAGCAAACUCAGCCAACGGCUAGAAAGUGGUUGGAGGCUAUAAAUACCCCCACCCACCUCCAUUCAAGCCAUCCAAGUUUUGAGAAGUUCACAUUCAAUACAAUAGCAAUAGCAUUCACUCCAAGACACAUUCCAAAGAUCAAAUCCCCUCCAAGCCUCAAAAUCAACUCAAUUGCUUAGUGACUUGAGAGAGGGUGUUUUGUGUUCUUUUGUUGCUCUUGUUACUUGGAUUGCUUUCUCCUUUCUAUUCUCAUUCUUCUAAGUGCUUUGUAAAGCUAGCAAGAGACACCUAAGUGUGUGGUGAUCCUUGCGAGGUCUUAGUGACCCAAGUGAUUAAGGAGAAACCUUGACCGGUCUGUGUGACCGAUUGAGAGAGGGAAAGGGUUGGAAUAGACCCGGACUUUGUGGCCUCCUCAAUGGGGACUAGGUUCUUUGGAACCAAACCUUGGUAAAACAAAUCAUCGUGUUCACUUGCAUUGAUCUUCACUUGAUUUGUUUUCCUGUCUUUCCUCUCUCUAAAGUUUCCUUGCUAAUAUUGAUUUAAGUUUGCUCCCAAAGUUAUACACAUCAAUUUGAGCAACUCAGCAAGAGAUACAAUCUUCCGCACUCAGAUUUAAUUCUAACGCUAACCCCGGCCUUAGUGUGUGUUUAAAGUUUGUAAAUUUCAGGUUUCGCCUAUUCACCCCCUCUAGGCGACUUUCAGGUGCCAAUAGUGACGGCGCCGACCCCUACCAAGUAGGCGCCACAACGACGCUCCGGAGUGAUGCCUUGACACCAUUUAUAUUGGCGCCAAGACGUGUAACGUCGACGCCAAUAGUGAUGGCACCGAGGUAAGGGUCCAUUUUCUGAAUUAAAAUUGAAAAAGGCUUACUUGUGAAAAACUUUCCCCAAAAGGGCCAAAAAGCAAAAAAGACGACUGUCCCAAACACCCCUCCACACGCCGCCUCCCCGUGCCCUCCCUCCACACGCCGCCUCUGCUCGUCCGGAUCUCCCCGUGACCUCCUUCCCCACUUUGUUGCUCCGCCCAUCGCCUCAUCGCGACCUCCCUCCCCACGCCUCCAUUACCGUGGAGCUUUCAACCAGCCCGAGUGCUCCAGAAAUCUCGCAACCCGUCCGCUCGCCAUGAACCCACCCGUAAUCACGGGCGCUCCAACCGCGACCGCCAUCCUCGCCCGCGAACGCUCCAACCGCGACCUCCCGAAAUCCACGCCAUGCUCCGUUCAUGCCGCGUCUGCUCUAAUCGUGUCCGUGCAUGCCAUGAUCGCCAUUCUCGCCCCCCACUGUCUACGCAUUUUGUGCUCACCCAACAGCCUUAUCGCGCCCUCCACCAUCGCUGGCCAGCGUUCGAUGCAUACGCCAACCUUAUCACGUUCGCAUCCUCUCUCGCAUGCGUUCCCAACCACCGUCCUGUCAUCCUUAUGCAGCUUGCCCAUGGUAGCCACGAGCUGGAGCAGCAGCACUUCCAACAUCCUGUUCUUGAGAACCCAUGCCUCACAACAUACCGUCUGGUGAGUCUCCAACUAACUUAAACGUGAUUGUGGCUCCUUCUAUUUUCAUGUGAAAUUGGUUCUAGUACCUUGCUAAUUGUGGUUGUUCAUCGAUCUGGUGAAGCUACAUGUGCAUAAAUAUUUUUUGUUUAUUGCUAUCCAGAUAUUUUUGCUUUUCCCCUUGUUUUUGCUUGCUUCAAUUUUUGGAAGGAGCAUCUACUUUUUUACUACAACCGUAUGUGGCUUGAUGCUAUUUGAAAGGGAAAUAGGCUCACACCUUUUCCUAAUUGAUUUUGGUGGUUGAAUUGUCCAACACAAAUAAUUGGACUAACUAGUUUGCUCUAGAUUAUAAGUUCUACAGGUGCCAAAGGUUCAACACAAACCAAUAAAAAGUCCAAGAAAGGGUUCAAAUAAAAAGAGCAAAAGACAACCGAAGGCAGCCCUGGUCUGGCGCACCGAACUGUCCGGUGUGCCACCGGACAGUGUCCGGUGCACCAGGGAGAUCAACUCCGAACUUGCCACCUUCGGGAAUUCUGGGAGCCACUCCGCUAUAAUUCACCGGACUGUCCGGUGUAGCACCAAACUGUCCGGUGUGCCAUGCGGAGCAACGGCUACCUGUGCCAACGGUCGUCUGCAACAGCUACAGUGAACAGUGAACAGUGCCGACUGCGCGCGCAGAGUCAGAGCAAGCGCCAGAUGGCGCACCGGACAGUGAACAAUACAUGUCCGGUGCACCACCAGACUGUCCGGUGGCCCACUUGUCAGAAGCUCCAACGGUCGAACCCUAACAGUUGGGUGACGUGGCUGGUGCACCGGACAGUGUCCGGUGGUGCACCGGACUGUCCGGUGCGCCCUUUGACAGCAGCCUUCCCCAACGUCCACUUUGCUGGUUGGGGCUAUAAAUACCCCCAACCACCAACACUUCAGAGCAUCCAAGUUUUCAGCCAACACAUUCAAUACAAGAGCUAGUGCAUUCAAUACAAGACACAAAUAGAGUGAAUCAAAAUCUCUCCAAGUCCCAAUUCCACUCAAAGCAAUAGUGACUAGAAGAGAGAGUUUUGUCGUGUUCUUUUGAGCUCUUGCGCUUGGAUCGCUUUUCUUCUUCCCAUUUCUUGUUCCCAAGAUCAUUGUAAUCAAAGCAAGAUACACCAAUUGUGUGGUGGUCCUUGUGGGGACUAAGUGUCCCGUUUGAUUGAGAAGAGAAGCUCACUCGGUCUAAGUGAUCGUUUGAGAGAGGGAAAGGGUUGAAAAAGACCCGGUCUUUGUGACCACCUCAACGGGGAGUAGGUUUUCAAGAAACGAGCCUCGUUAAAACAAAUCACCGUGUCAUCCGCUCUUAUUCGCCUGUGAUUUGUUUUCGCCCUCUCUUUCGGACUCGAUUAUAUUUCUAACGCUAACCCCGGCUUGUAGUUGUGCUUAAACUUUAUAAAUUUCAGAUUUGCUUAUUCACCCCCCCUCUAGGUGACUUUCAAUUGGUAUCGGAGCCCGGUACUUCAUUAAGAGCCUAACCACUCGAAGUUAUGUCGGAAGCUCACGCCAAGAAGGAGAUGGUGACCGGUGAGAAGCCCGCCACAAGCCACAGGAAGGCUCCAUCGGGGGAGUCCGACAACAAGAAGAGGGAGGAAUCACCUCCCCGUGUCAAGUCGCACCGGAGUGGCGACAAGAAGAAGAAAAUGAAGAAAGUGGUCUACUACGAGACCGAUUCUUCGUCUCCUUCCACCUCCGGCUCCGACGCGCCGUCCGUCACUUCUAAGCGCCAUGAGCGCAAGAAGUUUAGUAAGAUCCCCUUACGCUAUCCUCGCAUUUCCAAACGCACUCCUUUACUUUCCGUCCCAUUAGGCAAACCACCGGUUUUUGACGGUGAAGAUUAUUGUAUGUGGAGUGAUAAAAUGAGGCACCAUCUAACCUCACUCCACGCUAGUAUUUAGGACAUUGUUAAAUUUGGCGCACAAGAACCAUCCGUGGGGGAUGAAGGCUAGGAUUCGAACGAGGUAGCCCAAAUCCGGCAUUUCAACUCCCAAGCCACCACUAUACUCCUCGCCUCUCUAAGUCGAGAGGAGUAUAACAAGGUGCAAGGGUUGAAGAGUGCCAAAGAAAUUUGGGACGUGCUCAAGACCGCGCACGAAGGAGAUGAGGUGACCAAGAUCACCAAGCGGGAGACGAUCGAGGGGAGCUCAGUCGAUUCAUGCUUCACCAAGGGGAGGAGCCACAAGCCAUGUACAACCGGCUCAAGACCUUGGUGAACCAAGUGCGCAACCUCGGGAGCACCAAUGGGAUGACCAUGAAAUGGUCAAGGUUAUUCUUAGAUCACUCGUUUUUCUUAACCCUACUCAAGUACAAUUAAUUCGUGGUGAUCCAAGAUAUAAACUAAUGUCUCCCGAGGAAGUGAUAGGGAAGUUUGUGAGCUUUGAACUCAUGAUCAAAGGCUCCAAAUAAAUCAUAGAGCGAGGCGCCACCUCCACACCCGAGGUGCAACCCGUCGCCUUCAAAGCGACGGAGGAGAAGAAGGAAGAGUCUACAUCAAGUAGGCUUCCCAUCGAUGCCUCCAAGCUCGACAAUGAGGAGAUGGCUUUAAUCAUCAAAAGCUUUCGCCAAAUCCUCAAGCAAAGGAAGGGGAAAGAUUACAAGCCUCGUUCCAAGAAAGUAUGGUACAAAUGUGGUAAGUCCGGUCAUUUCAUUGCUAAAUGUCCAUUAUCAAGUGAUAGUGACAGGGGCGACGACAAGAAGGGAAGAAGGAAGGAGAAGAAGAAGUAUUACAAGAAGAAGGGCGGCGAUGCCCAUGUUUACCGGAGUGGGACUCCGAUGAGAGCUCCACCUACUCCUCCUCCGACUAGGACGCCGCAAACAGCGCCGUCACCAAGGGUCUCCUCUUCCCCAACGUCGGUCACAAGUGCCUCAUGGCAAGGGACGACAAAAAGAAGGUAAAAUCUAGAGCCUCCACUAAAUACGCGACAUCUAGUGAUGAGGAAAGCUCUAGUGAUGAUGAGGAUAAUUUACUUGCCCUUUUUGCCAACCUCAACAUGCAACAAAAGGAGAAAUUAAAUGAAUUGAUAGGAGCUAUUCAUGAGAAGGAUGAACUCUUGGAUACCCAAGAGGACUUCCUUAUCAAAGAAAAUAAGAAGCAUGUUAAGGUUAAAAAUGCUUACGCUAUCAUAGAAAAAUUAGUGAGCUAAGUACUUGCCAUGAUGUUAUCUCAAACCUUAGAAAUGAAAAAUGCCAAACUAAUUGCUAAGGUUGAGAAGUUAGAUGUUUGUGAUGAUUCAAUUGUUAGUCUUAGAAAUGAUAAUGAUAGUUUGAUCACUAAGAUUGAUAAAUUGAAUGCAUCCCUCUCUAGCCUUAAAAUUGAGAAUGAAAAAUUAAUUGCUAAGGCUAAAGAUUUAAAUGUUUGCAAUGUUUCUAUUUCCAAUCUUAGAGAUGAGAAUGCUAUUUUACAUGCUAAGAUUGUUGAAUUAAAUACUUGCAAACCCUCUACAUCUAACGUUGAGCAUGUUACUAUUUGCACUAGAUGUAGAGAUAUUAAUGUUGAUGUUAUUCAUGAUCACCUAGCUUUAAUUAAACAACAAAAUGAUCACAUAGCUCAACUUAGUGCUAAAAUUAAUGAGUAUGACUUAGAAAAUGAAAAAUUUAAAUUUGCUCGUAGUAUGCUUUAUAGUGGGAGACACCCUAGCAUUAAGGAUGGCAUUGGCUUCCAACAGGGUGACAAUGUCAAGCUUAAUGCCCCUAAGAAAUUAUCUAACUUUGUUAAGGGCAAAGCUCCCAUGGUUCAGGAUAACGAGGGUUACAUUUUAUACCCUGCCGGUUAUCCUGAACACAAAAUUAGGAGAAUUCAGUCUAGGAAGUCUCACUCUGGCUCUCAUCAUGCUUUUAUGUAUAAGAGUGAGGCAUCUAGUUCUAGGCAGUCCACUCAAGUCAAAUUGCCUAAUAAGAAAACUCCUAUUGCAUAAAAUGAACCUAACAUUUCAUUUAAGACUUUUGAUGCAUCAUAUGUUUUAACUAACAAAUCAGGCAAAGUAGUUGCCAAAUAUGUUGGGGCCAAACACAAGAGCUCAAAGACAAGAAGGGAAGAAGGAAGGAGAAGAAGAAGUAUUACAAGAAGAAGGGCGGCGAUGCCCAUGUUUACCGGAGUGGGACUCCGAUGAGAGCUCCACCUACUCCUCCUCCGACGAGGACGCCGCAAACAGCGCCGUCACCAAGGGUCUCCUCUUCCCCAACGUCGGUCACAAGUGCCUCAUGGCAAGGGACGACAAAAAGAAGGUAAAAUCUAGAGCCUCCACUAAAUACGCGACAUCUAGUGAUGAGGAAAGCUCUAGUGAUGAUGAGGAUAAUUUACUUGCCCUUUUUGCCAACCUCAACAUGCAACAAAAGGAGAAAUUAAAUGAAUUGAUAGGAGCUAUUCAUGAGAAGGAUGAACUCUUGGAUACCCAAGAGGACUUCCUUAUCAAAGAAAAUAAGAAGCAUGUUAAGGUUAAAAAUGCUUACGCUAUCAUAGAAAAAUUAGUGAGCUAAGUACUUGCCAUGAUGUUAUCUCAAACCUUAGAAAUGAAAAAUGCCAAACUAAUUGCUAAGGUUGAGAAGUUAGAUGUUUGUGAUGAUUCAAUUGUUAGUCUUAGAAAUGAUAAUGAUAGUUUGAUCACUAAGAUUGAUAAAUUGAAUGCAUCCCUCUCUAGCCUUAAAAUUGAGAAUGAAAAAUUAAUUGCUAAGGCUAAAGAUUUAAAUGUUUGCAAUGUUUCUAUUUCCAAUCUUAGAGAUGAGAAUGCUAUUUUACAUGCUAAGAUUGUUGAAUUAAAUACUUGCAAACCCUCUACAUCUAACGUUGAGCAUGUUACUAUUUGCACUAGAUGUAGAGAUAUUAAUGUUGAUGCUAUUCAUGAUCACCUAGCUUUAAUUAAACAACAAAAUGAUCACAUAGCUCAACUUAGUGCUAAAAUUAAUGAGUAUGACUUAGAAAAUGAAAAAUUUAAAUUUGCUCGUAGUAUGCUUUAUAGUGGGAGACACCCUAGCAUUAAGGAUGGCAUUGGCUUCCAACAGGGUGACAAUGUCAAGCUUAAUGCCCCUAAGAAAUUAUCUAACUUUGUUAAGGGCAAAGCUCCCAUGGUUCAGGAUAACGAGGGUUACAUUUUAUACCCUGCCGGUUAUCCUGAACACAAAAUUAGGAGAAUUCAGUCUAGGAAGUCUCACUCUGGCUCUCAUCAUGCUUUUAUGUAUAAGAGUGAGGCAUCUAGUUCUAGGCAGUCCACUCAUGUCAAAUUGCCUAAUAAGAAAACUCCUAUUGCAUAAAAUGAACCUAACAUUUCAUUUAAGACUUUUGAUGCAUCAUAUGUUUUAACUAACAAAUCAGGCAAAGUAGUUGCCAAAUAUGUUGGGGCCAAACACAAGAGCUCAAAGACUUGUGUUUGGGUACCCAAGGUGCUUGUUUCUAAUGUGAAAGGACCCAAGACCGUUUGGGUACCUAAGAACAAGGCCUAAAUUUGUUUUGUAGGUUUAUGCAUCUGGGGGCUCAAGUUGGAUAAUUGAUAGCGGGUGCACAAACCACAUGAUUGGGGAGAAAAGGAUGUUCUCCUCCUACGAGAAAAACCAUGAUCCUCAAAGAGCUAUCGCAUUCGGGGAUGGAAAUCAAGGUUUGGUCAAAGGACUUGGUAAAAUUGCUAUAUCUCCUGACCAUUCUAUUUCCAAUGUUUUUCUUGUAGAUUCUUUAGAUUAUAAUUUGCUUUCCGUUUCUCAAUUAUGUAAAAUGGGCUAUAACUGUCUUUAUACGGAUAUAGGUGUUACUGUCUUUAGAAGAAGUGAUGAUUCAGUAGCAUUUAAGGGAGUGUUAGAGGGUCAGCUAUACUUAGUUGAUUUUAAUAGAGCUGAACUCGACACUUGCUUAAUUGCUAAGACUAACAUGGGUUGGCUCUGGCACCGCCGACUAGCCCAAGUUGGGAUGAAGAAUCUUCAUAAGCUUCUAAAGGAAGAGCACAUUUUGGGACUAACAAAUGUUCAUUUUGAGAAAGACAUGAUUUGUAGUGCAUGUCAAGCAGGAAAGCAAGUUGGUGUUAAUCAUCCACACAAGAACAUCAUGACGACUGACAGGCCACUCGAGUUACUCCACAUGGACCUAUUCGGCCCGAUCGCUUACAUAAGCAUCGGCGGGAGUAAAUACUGUCUAGUUAUUUGGGAUGAUUAUUCUCGCUUCACUUGGGUGUUCUUUUUGCAGGAAAAAUCACAAACCCAAGAGACCUUAAAGGGAUUCUUGAGACGAGCUCAAAAUGAGUUCGGCUUAAGGAUCAAAAAGAUUAGAAGCAACAACGGGACGGAGUUCAAGAACUCACAAAUAGAAGGCUUCCUUGAGGAUGAGGGCAUCAAGCAUGAGUUCUCUUCUCCCUACACACCACAACAAAAUGGUGUAGUGGAGAGGAAGAAUAGAACUCUACUUGACAUGGCGAGGACCUGCUUGAUGAAUACAAGAAUUCAGACCGGUUUUGGGUGGAAGCAAUCAACACCGCUUGCUACGCCAUCAACCGUCUCUACCUUCACCGAAUCCUCAAGAAGACAUCAUAUGAACUCCUAACCGAUAAAAAGCCUAAUGUUUCAUAAUUUAGAGUCUUUGGUAGCAAAUGUUUUAUUCUUGUUAAAAGAGGUAGAAAAUCUAAAUUUGCUCCUAAGGCUGUAGAAGGCUUUUUACUUGGUUAUGAUUCAAACACAAGGGCAUAUAGAUUCUUUAACAAGUCCACUGGACUAGUUGAAGUUUCUUGUGACAUUGUGUUUGAUGAGACUAACGGCUCUCAAGUAGAGCAAGUUGAUCUUGAUGAGCUAGAUGAUGAAGAGGCUCCGUGCGUCGCGCUAAGGAACAUGUCCAUUGGGGAUGUGUGUCCUAAGGAAUCCGAAGAGCCUCCACAAGCACAAGAUCAACCAUCUUCCUCCAUGCAAGCAUCUCCACCAACUCAAGAUGAGGAUCAAGCUCAAGAGUAUGAAAAUGAAGAUCAAGAAGAUGAGCCACCUCAAGAAGGGGACAAUGAUCAAGGGGGAGAUGCCCAUGAUCUAGACAAGGAAGAUGAUGAUGGUCCAAGACCACCACACCCAAGAGUCCACCAAGCAAUACAACGAGAUCACCAUGUGAACUCCAUCCUCAACGAUAUUCAAAAGGGGGUAACCACUCGAUCUCGUGUUGCUCAUUUUUGUGAACAUUACUCCUUUGUGUCGUCUAUUGAGCCGUACAGGGUGAAAGACGCAUUAAGGGAUUCGGAUUGGGUGUUGGCAAUGCAAGAGGAACUCAACAACUUCACGAGGAAUGAGGUAUGACAUUUAGUUCCACGUCCUAACCAAAAUGUUGUAGGAACCAAGUGGGUCUUCCGCAACAAACAAGAUGAGCAUGGUGUGGUGACAAGGAACAAAGCCCGACUUGUGGCCAAGGGAUUUUCACAAGUCGAAGGUUUGGAUUUCGGUGAAACCUAUGCACCCGUAGCUAGGCUUGAGUCAAUUCGAAUAUUACUUGUCUAUGCUACUUACCAUGGCUUUAAGCUUUAUCAAAUGGACGUAAAAAGUGCCUUCCUCAAUGGACCAAUCAAGGAAGAUGUCUAUGUUGAGCAACCUCCCGGCUUUGAAGAUAGUGAGUACCCUAACCAUGUUUACAAACUCUCUAAGGUGCUUUAUGGGCUCAAGCAAGCCCCAAGAGCAUGGUAUGAAUGCCUAAGAGAUUUUCUUAUCGCUAAUGGCUUCAAGGUCGAAAAAGCCGAUUCUACUCUCUUUACUAAAACAAUUGCAAAAGAUUUGUUUAUAUGCCAAAUUUAUGUUGAUGAUAUCAUAUUUGGGUCUACUAACAAAUCUACUUGUGAAGAGUUUAGUAAGAUCAUGAUUCAAAAAUUCGAGAUGUCUAUGAUGGGGGAGUUGAAGUACUUCUUAGGAUUUCAAGUGAAACAACUCCAAGAGGGCACCUUCAUCAUCCAAACCAAGUAUAUUCAAGACAUACUCACAAAGUUUGGGAUGAAGGAUGCCAAGCCCAUCAAAACACCCAUGGGAACUAAUGGGCAUCUCGACCUCGACACGGGAGGUAAAUCCGUAGAUCAAAAGGUAUACCGGUCGAUGAUAUGAUCUUUACUCUAUUUAUGUGCAUCUCGACCGGAUAUAAUGCUUUCCGUAUGCAUGUGUGCAAGAUUCCAAGCCGAUCCUAAGGAAGUUCACCUUAAGGUCGUAAAACGAAUCUUGAGAUAUUUAGCUUAUACUCCUAAGUUUGGCCUUUGGUACCCCAGGGGAUCCACUUUUGAUUUAAUUGGAUAUUCAGAUGCUGAUUGGGCAGGGUGUAAGAUUGAUAGAAAGAACACAUCAGGGACUUGCCAGUUCUUGGGAAGAUCUCUAGUGUCUUGGGCUUCUAAGAAACAAAAUUCUGUACCAAGCCACUAGAUGAGAAAACUUUUACCAAACUUAGGCAUGAGCUAAACAUUCUUGAUUCUAGGAAUUUUGAUUGAUAUUUUGCACACCUAGCUCAUUUCAAUACAGUUGAUCAUAUCUCUUUCAUGUACUAUGACUAAUGUGGUUUUCAAGUGUAUUAUAUGCUAAGUCAUAGAUUGAAAGGGAAAUGGAGUUCUUCGGCGAAGCCAAGGCUUCCACUCCACUCCAUCAUGUUAUUCAUCAUUUGCCGUCACUCCGCAACGCUCUCCAAUUUGGUAUAAUCUUCACUCAUAUAUUGUUUACCAAAGGGGGAGAAUGUUUGAACAAGGGCUUAUAUUUCACUCACAAGUAUCCGUUUUUGGCGAUUCAUGCCAAAGGGGGAGAAAGUAUUAGCCCAAAGCAAAAGUACCGCACCACCACCAAUUUCACAAAUGUAGUCUUUCAAAUUUGUAUUAAAAGAAGGUUUUUCAAUUGGUAUCUUAUUUUGUUAUAUAAUUUCAAAUUGGUAUGACCCCUUUCAAAACUAAUAUCUAAACCCCUCUUGAACACUAAGAGGAGAAUUUCAUUGAGGGGGAGUUUUGUUUAGUCAAAGGAAAAGCAUUUGAAACAGGGGGAGAAAAUUUCAAAUAUUGAAAAUGCUUCUCAAAAUCUUAUUCAUUUACCUUUGACUAUUUGCAAAAAGACUUUGAAAAGAAUUUCCAAAAGAGUUUGCAAAAACAAAACAUGUGGCGCAAGCAUGGUCCAAAAUGUUAAAUUAGAAGAAAACAUCCAUGCAUAUAUUAUAAAAAUGUAUAUUGGUUUAAUUCCAAGUAACCCUUGCACUUACCUUUUGCAAACUAGUUCAAUUCUGCACUUAUAUAUUUGCUUUGGUUUGUGUUGGCAUCAAUCACCAAAAAGGGGGAGAUUGAAAGGGAAAUAGGCUCACACCUUUUCCUAAUUGAUUUUGGUGGUUGAAUUGUCCAACACAAAUAAUUGGACUAACUAGUUUGCUCUAGAUUAUAAGUUCUACAGGUGCCAAAGGUUCAACACAAACCAAUAAAAAGUCCAAGAAAGGGUUCAAAUAAAAAGAUCAAAAGACAACCGAAGGCAGCCCUGGUCUGGCGCACUGGACUGUCCGGUGCACCAGGGAGAUCAACUCCGAACUUGUCACCUUCGGGAAUUCUGGGAGCCACUCCGCUAUAAUUCACCGGACUGUCCGGUGUAGCACCGGACUGUCCGAUGUGCCAUGCGGAGCAACGGCUACCUGCGCCAACGGUUGUCUGCAACAGCUACAGUGAACAGUGAACAGUGCCGACUGCGCGCGCAGAGUCAGAGCAGGCGCUAGAUGGCACACCGGACAGUGAACAGUACCUAUCUGGUGCACCACCGGACUGUUCGGUGGCCCACUUGUCAGAAGCUCCAACGGUCGAACCCUAACGGUUGGGUGACGUGGCUAGCGCACCGGAUAGUGUCCGGUGGUGCACCGGGCUGGCCGGUACGCCCUUCGACAGCAGCCUUCCCCAACGGCCACUUUGGUGGUUGGGGCUAUAAAUACCCCCAAUCACCAACACUUUAGAGCAUCCAAGUUUUCAGCCAACAUAUUCAAUACAAGAGCUAGUGCAUUCAAUACAAGACACAAAUAUAGUGAAUCAAAAUCUCUCCAAGUCCCAAUUCCACUCAAAGCAAUAGUGACUAGAAGAGAGAGUUUUGCCGUGUUCUUUUGAGCUCUUGCGCUUGGAUCGCUUUUCUUCUUCCCCAUUUCUUGUUCCCAAGAUCAUUGUAAUCAAAGCAAGAGACACCAAUUGUGUGGUGGUCCUUGUGGGGACUAAGUGUCCCGUUUGAUUGAGAAGAGAAGCUCACUCGGUCUAAGUAGUUGUGCUUAAACUUUAUAAAUUUCAGAUUUGCCUAUUCACCCCCCUCUAGGUGACUUUCACUAUUCUCAAUUACUUCUUCAAAAGAAAAGUUACAGUGAGUUGGUGAAUUUAACACAUGAUGCUAUUUGUUGCAGAGAUUUAGUGAUACUCCUUAUCGUCUUGAUAGAAAUUCAUUUAUGUAAUAUUUUUUUGUGAUGUACAGAGCUCCUGUUGGUUAGAAAAUAGAAACACAUGGCGUUUUGGUUGAGGUUAUCUCCUGCUCUUAUGUGAACCACAAAAUAUUUCAUGUUGCUAACCUGUAUUUACUACGAAUGUAUUCAUCGCUUUAGAUUACUAAAAUGUUCAUAUAAACAAAAGCAGUAAUUUGGAUAGUAGCUACCAAUAAUAUGGAUUACUUUUACAAAUACCCCCUGAAAUUCUACAAACCAACCCAUUGUCCAACGCAUUUCUCUGUCCCGCCUCCCUUCGGGCCUACACCAUCUUCGUCCCCAACCUUCCUCCCCACACCGCCUCCUGGACCCUCCCCGUGACCUGGCCCCUUGAAAUUAUGUAUUGGUUGUUGCCAGAGAAUUUAUAAGAUUGAGAUCGUUAAUAUGUGGUAUUUGUUUUUAUGUAAUCGUUGUGCACUAAUAUUUUUUUUGAAUAUUUUGUUUGCCGUUGCAACACACGGGCACUUGACUAGUUAGCAGUAAAAUACGAGAGCAUGAGGUUACCAACCACUAUAACCUAGAAUGGAUGGAGGACAAAGACCUUCUAAAAAUAGUAUAAAGCAAGAACAGAGAAAGAGACUGAGAAUAAAGCGACAAGUGUUAAUAGGGUUAGUGAAAGUCGCCUAGAGGGGGGUGAAUAGGCAAAUCUAAAAUUUAUAAAGUUUAAGCAUAACUACAAGCCGGGGUUAGCGUUAGAAAUAUAAUCGAGUCCGAAAGAGAGGGCGAAAACAAAUCACAAACGAAUAAGAGCGGAUGACACGGUGAUUUGUUUUACCGAGGUUCAGUUCUUGCAAACCUACUCCCCGUUGAGGUGGUCACAAAGACCGGGUCUCUUUCAACCCUUUCCCUCUCUCAAACGGUCACUUAGACCGAGUGAGCUUCCUUCCUUGAUUUCCUGGGUCACUUAGACCCUGCAAGGACCACCACACAAUUGGUGUCUCUUGCUUUGCUUACAAGGCUUUGAGAGUAAGAAUGAGAGAAAGAAGAAAGCCAACCAAGCAACAAGAACAACAAAAGAACACAAGUCGAUCUUCUCACAAGUCCUAAAAACUAGAGUUGAAUUGUGGACUUUGAUUUGAUUGGAGGCUUUGAUUUGUGUCUUGGAGUGUUGUGUAUUGCUCUUGUAUUGAAUGAGGAGUAGUGAAUGCUUGGAUUGCCUUGAAGAGUGGUGGUUGGGGGGUAUUUAUAGCCCGAACCACCAAAAUAGCCAUUGGGGAACUCUGAUGUCGAUGGGCGCACCGGACUGUCCAGUGCACCACCGGACACUGUCCGGUGCGCCAGCCAUGCACCCAACUGUUAGGGUUCGACCGUUGGAGCUUUUGACAUGUGGGCCACCGGAUAGUCCGGUGGUGCACCGGACAGGUCCUGUUCACUGUCCGGUGCGCCUUCUGGCGCCUGCUCUGACUUCUGCGUGCGUAGUUGCACUGUUCACUAUAGACUUUUGCAGACGACCGUUGGCACAGUUAGCCGUUGCUCCGCUGGCACACCGGACAGUUCGGUGCUACACCGAACAGUCCGGUGAAUUAUAGCGGAGUGGCUCCCAGAAUUCCCGAAGGUGGCAAGUUUGGAGUUGAUCUCCCUGGUGCACCGGACACUGUCCGGUGGCACACAUGACAAUCCUGUGCGCCAGACCAGGGCAGCCUUCGGUUGUCUUUUUGCUCUUUUUUUAACCCUUUCUUGGACUUUUAUUGGUUUGUGUUGAACCUUUGGCACCUGUAGAACUUAUAAUCUAGAGCAAACUAGUUAGUCCAAUUAUUUGUGUUGGGCAAUUCAACCACCAAAAUCAAUUAGGAAAAUGUGUGAGCCUAUUUCCCUUUCAGUUAGGGCACCGAGGAAGCUAUAUAUACAACAUUGAUAUUUAGUCCCAUUUGGUGGCGGUGCCCGGGACUCAAGGUCAACCUCUUGUUAUGGUUAGAUCCACCAACUAGGACUAAAGACCCUCCUACAAAAGUUUGUGAUGUUGGUUGUUGGACCGAAGAUUUUAGCCCUAGUUGGUGGCUCCAACCAAUACUAAAGCUCCAUUAGUCUUGGGUCUAACUAUGUCAAGGACUAAAAAGACACAAGUCUAUUCUCUACUAAUGUAUGAACCAUUAUGCUAAAUGUAGUUUUAAUCAUUUUAUUUUGUCAUAAAUUGUUAUCAUUUAUUGUGAUGUAUUGGCUUAAUGUUUUGCUCUCAUUACAACAUAAGGAUAUUAGCCUAACAAUAAACUAUGCAUGGUGUCGGGUACCUAGGAUUCGGGUGCCCGAAGAAGGCCCAAAAGGCCUCCCAAAGACGACCCACUAAUCGACCAGCCCGCCUGCCUAGUAACUCGGCGAGGUGGCCCAAAAGGCCUCCCGAAGACGACCGACCAACCCGCCCGUCGAGCAAAUCGGCGAGGCAGAGUUGACAACCAACCUGCCUGCCGAGCAAGUCGGUGAGGCGGAGUUGUCGACCAACCCGUCUACCGAGCAACAUGGUGAGGCGGAGUCAUUGUACAUCCACUUGGCGAGCAACCUUCUGGCAAGCAGACCCACAGGGGAAAGGGGCACUGACCCAGUACCAAUGAGCAAUGUCAGCACGACAAGGUAGACUAUCACCAAACCACGUUCGGGUCAUGGGAACUGAGCCAAAGGGACCUCUGUCAAACACGACCAUCAAUACAUUCUCAGAUGUGCCUGAAAGGGAAAUGUGCCCUUGGACCAUUUCUAUAAGUAUUCUGGUGAUUAGAUGUCCAACACACAUUGAGUAAGUUCUUAUGUGCCAAAUGAGUGAGAAGUGUGAAAUCAAGAACAAGGUAUGUUUCUAGACUUAGUGAAUUGUUUUUGAAUACUAACAUGGCUAUCUAAGUGCUAGAAACAGUGCCAAGAAAAGAAGAUUUGUAUUGGAGAAGAGUUGGCAAAGUACAACCAACACCAGCUCGGGUCUAGCACACCGGACUGUACGGUGGUGCAUCGGACAGUGUCCGGUGCCCCAGACUGGUCAACAGUGAACCGGCUGCUCUCGGGAAAAGAGAAAGGCGACGUGGCUAUAAUUCACCGGACUGUCCAGUGAGUCAACGGCGCCAGCAGCCAACGAUCGUUCGCGCGAUCAACGCGUGACAUGUGGUCCGCGCCAACGGUCGGUUGGGCACACCGGACUGUCCAGUGCGUCCGGUGCGCCAACCGGUCCCAUGGACCAACGGUCGGUUGCACCCGGUAUGGAAGGAAAUUGAGCACCGGACUGCUACAGUGGUUGUCCGGUGGUGCACCGGACUGUCCGGUGCACCACUCGAGAGAAGGCAAGAAUUGCCUACCAAAUUGAUGUCCAACGGCUCCUAGCUGCCUUAGGGAUAAAAAGAGACCCCUAGGAGCAUGGAGCAGACCACCAAGCUUACAAGAGACAUCCUAAGACACCUAUAUUAUGCAUUCAGGCAAUCAGAUAAUCGUUCUUGAGAUUUGAGCACUGUUCGAGUUGUAAACUCCUUGAGCUGUGUUUGUGUGCUCACCUCUUCACUUGUGUGCGUGUGUGUGCUGCGGAUUUGGGUCUUGCGUGUGUUGCACUCCCAUCCUUACUCUUGUGCUUUCUUUGUGAUCAUAACUUUGUAAGGGCGAGAGGCUCAAACUUGUGGAGAUUCCUCGCAAAUGGGAAGAAUACUCAAGAUAAAAGACUGUGGUAUUCAAGUCGAUCAAUGGAUCACUUGAAAGGGGUUGAGUGCAACCCUCGUCCAUAGGGAUGGCACAACGUGGAAGUAGGCAAGUGUUACUUGGCCGAACCACGGGAUAAAAAUCGCAUGUCUCGUGUGUUACUUUUCUAUGAUUGUUUUGUUCGCACGAGCUCAGUCCAUAGCCACUUGGUUACACUAACACUUUAAUAAUCAAGUUUGUGGCUAUUUAGUGUUUGAUUUUACAGGAUCACCUAUUCAUCCCCCUCUAGGUGCUCUCAAUUGGUAUCGGAGCCAUACUCUUCAUCUAAGGGACUAACCGCCCGAAGAGAUGGAUCCUAAGGGAAAGGGGAUGGUGGUCAACGACAAGGAAAAGGAGUCCAUCUUCAAUGAGCCAAGAGACGACAAGCCCACUGUAACACCCUGAAUUUGGGGGUAUAAAAUUUCUUUUCUAAUAUCCACCAAAUUCAGGUGUUACCCUCUAAAUCACUUGCUUUUCUUCUCUCUUUGUUGUUUCAAAAUAAUGGAGAGUUAUUUUAUUAUAUAUUUAUAUGUGAGUUUUUGGCGUAGUAAAAUAAAAUCCUAGAGAAACUUUGAUUAUUGCAUUCAAGUCGUUGCAAAGUGUUUAUGAGUGUAAAGGUUUUUCAAAACUACAUCGAAUAAUCUUGAUCUUGUUUCUGAAGGCUUUCAGGAACCUUCGAAACGUUCCUUCGAGUAUUAAUAUGAAUUUCAGUCUCUCUAAUUAUUAAUUAAGUACCUAAAUUUUUGUAUUUGCGAAAACUACAAAAAUCUUGGAAACACGAUAAUAUAUAUAUUUCUUCCUCUCGUCGAACCUGUUCCAAACCUCCUACCUUUUUCGCGAGAUCACCGAAUCACGUCUUCUCGCGAACAGCAUGCUGCCCGCGUCGGCUAUCCUCGUCAUUUUAGGUCCACAUGCCAGCUCUGGUCGCCUUCGUCUAAUUUGGUCUAACCCGCAUAAGUCAGUCUCUGUCCUACACUGUCUCGCGCAAUUGUAUUUUCCGCUCGGUCGCGACGCAAUUUGCGACGAAUUGAGCAACCAUCUCAUGUGCCUGUUUUUUUAUAUAUAAAUCCACCCGUCAUCGCAUAACCCCUCGUCUCGCCCAGAUCCAGAACGCAGGCGUGGAGGGCAGCUGUUACCAGGUACGCAGGCAUCCCUCUUCUUGUUUCCCAUUGCCAAAUUGCCUCCGAUUUCCCGAGACCCAGAUCACCCGAGCAUGCUCCUCAUCCCGGCGACGCACGUAAGCUUUCUCCUCUUCCCAGCGACACACUAUCUCGAAGCCUAUCGCCGACGAAUCCGUCCAGCCAAACCAUCCGUAGCCUCAUGCCCUCACUUCGUCGAAGCUCCUCGUUCAAGCAUGAUCCCAGGCCAUGGCCGACGUCCGCGCGUCCCAGCCCUCGCCGUUCCUCACAGUGCCUGCGAUGCUCAGCAGGGGGCGACCAUGGCGAGCCGCGGCCAGCCCGGCAUCCCUGCAAGCGACGCAGCCAAGCCUGGCCCGGCCAGCGCCAGGGCACGCCCCAACCUCCCUCUCGCAGUGCCCCCUCAAGAUCCAGCCACCCCUCUCCCACUUCUUCCCUCUCCCUUCUCCCUUGGGCACGGCAGCAGCAGUCCCAGGUCAUCCAUGGUGGCCAUCGGCGCGACCGCUAAUCCCCUUCCAUGAGCCCACCCUUGCCGAGCUCCUCCCUGGCCGGCCGUCGUCCUUCUCCCAUGGGCGAGCUCGCCCUGGGCCGCGACCAACACCCUCCCUCUGCGGCAGCAACUUCCCCCAUCCCCCCUCCAUUUUCCUGUAACCGUGAGGUUGAAGACAUGUGUGGCCACACAGGAUCCGACCUGCAGGAUCUUUUGUGACCGUAACCCAUGUGACCCUUUGCGCAGCUCCGUUGCCUAGCCAAUAGAUUUACAUCACGUCAAUCAAGUUCGCAAAUCAUAAGCAAUUAAUAUAUUUUACGUCCUAAAUUAUUUUCGACUUGGUUCGGAUGCGUUAAGUUUGUAACCAUGUCGAUUACGUGUUAAUAACAUUAUUUUGUCGCGACAUAAGUUCAAUUAAUUAAUUAAUUUUUGGUUUGUACGUUGUUUAUUAAAGUAGCCAUUUGACUAAAACUAAUUCAUAGCUUUAUGCAUUAACUUGAUUAAUACCAACUCAAAUAUUUCGAUUCAAUAAUUGGUAGUGUAAUCACAUUAUUUGUUAGCGAUUAUCACGCGUCGUCGCACUAUCUGUGUGAUGUUCGCGCAUGAUGUUCUUGUGGCGCACGUGCUGUUCGCGCAAGUCGUUGCACGUUGUUCGCAUGUCGUUUACUCGUCAUCGUCAUACCUUCGCGCGAUCGCGCCACGAGUAUGGUUCACGUGUUGUCGCGCGCUGUUCGCGCGCGUCGUUAGUCACAUGGUCACGUGUUGCCGUGUUCGCGGUCCGUGUGCUCCUUCGCGCGUGCCGCAGGGUUGUUUCACUUGUCGUCGCGUGUGCGAAUUCACACUGUUCGCUCGCGUCGCCGCUCACAUAAAUUGCUAUUCAGACGCUUUGAUAAAAUCGUUUUGCCGCAUUGUUCAUGUUAAAUAAUUAAUUUCUUCUUUAGCGCCGGUUAGUUAAAAUAAUAGUUCGAUCGAACCUGUUAAGCGAUUAUGCCGACUUAGACGUUAUAUUCAAUAUCUGAUUAAUAUAAAACAAUAUAAUUUAGUGGUACCCGUAUGUCGUGUCGUUUAUAAAUUUAGUAUAUGUUUAAAUAUAGUGAGUCCUAUGCAUCGUGUUCAUAAAUAUAAUCUGACCAGUUUAAAAUGUGGUUUCCGAUCAAAUUACAAUCCCAAUUAAUGCCACAUUAGAUAUUUCUUUAGAGUAUCCUCCGUAAACGAUCUAUACUAAUUAGAAUCGGCCUAGAACAUAGAUUACACGUUUAUUAUGCAAACCUUCUGACAACCAUACCGUCUCAACCAUAGUUUCGAUUUUAGUGUUUAUUUCCUCGCGUGACUGUAGAAGCGAUCUCUAUUUCAUAGUACACGUUUUCAUAAUGGUUUCCAUUGUAUGGUGUAAUGUUCUUAUGCCAGUAUAUGUUUGUUUGUCUAUGUCUGUUCGUAUUCGCUGCGCGUCGCGAAUAGAUUGCAAUCUAUUCCCGAGCUUCGAGGAAUCGACGAUCAAGAUUUGGUGAACCACCGGUCCUGAGAUCAAGCUCUUCGAGUCCAAUGAGAUCGAAGACCCUGAGCAUCUGUUUGGUGAAGGCAAGUGUCCUCUGACCCAUUAUGUCCCAUUUACUUUAUAAUACACUGUCCCGCAUACUAUGAACAACCUAAGGAUUUACUAGCUUUCUAUUUACCUGGUCCUUGAUUACCUUUUGGGCUACUAUGGUUAGCUUCAUGCUAGCGCUUUACUUUAAUCAAUGAACAUGAUGAGAUACAAUGAUGAUACUAUGGUUUUAUUCUGGAUAUGAUGAUUUACUUGUGACAUUUAAGGGGGCUCGAGCGGUUUCUCGAGUGCCUCUCCGUAAGGACCUGUUCGUUGAGAGACCACCCGGGAUAAUAGUGCAACCAUGAGGGUGGAAUGGGGUGCCCUUAGCUAAUUAAUUAGAGGAACUAGAGGUGUAGUCGCUUCGCCGUCGUGCCGUUAAUGGGGUCCAGGCACAGUGCUUGCUCUGCCGAGGCGGGGUGCCGAGGUCCUUUCGUUUUGCUUUUGUUAGUCACCCUCCUGCAGGGAGGAGUACUGUGUUUAUCAAACUGGAGAAACCUAACGGGCGGCUAUGACCUCUAGGGAAUCUUUGUAAAAGCUACGUAGUGAUACCCUGCCGGACCACCUAGGAAGUGAUCAAUGGGGAGUCAUGAUCCCCGGGCAAAAUGGGAAUCACGGCUCAUGGGUAAAGUGUGCGACCUCUGCAGAGGGUAGUGAAACUGAUAUAUCAGCCGUGCUCACGGUUAAGAGCGGCCUUGGGAUCCUCUUUGAUUAGAGAUACAGAUGGUUCAAUAUACAAUGGUUCUAUUUAUGGUUUUGGCUCGAUGAUGAUAAUGAUGUUCCUCGAGGAGGAAAUGGUUCACGGGUUGGCUAUUACUAAAACUUGGCUUCCACUAAUAAUAAAUAUCUGACCAACUAAAAGCAACUGCUUGAGCUUAACCCCGCAUAAAGCUAGUCCACUACAGCCAAACGGGACAUUUGCUGAGUACGUUGAUGUGUACUCACCCUUGCUUUCACAAAACACCAGGUUGCCUUUGGUGUAAUCUAUGCUCAGGUAAAGAAGAAGUCGUCGAGGCGGAUCUCCAGGAGUUCCAGGACUUCGACGAGUCCGAGGAUUAGGCUAGCGACCUCCCCCAGUCAGCUGCCUGUGGUGGGUUGUUUACGUUGGCUACGUUUCGAUUCUGUGUACUUUGAUUUAUAUUAUGUAAAUGGCUCUAGUCUGUAAUAUUAUUACUUACUCUUUAUUGUAAUUCGAAGCAUUGUGCUAUGAUGAGUCAUUUAUGUAAUCGCUGUGUACGUGAAUAACUGAUCCUGGCACGUACAUGGUUCGCAUUCGGUUUACCUUCUAAAACCGGGUGUGACAUAAGUGGUAUCAAAGCCGUGCUGACUGUAGGACCGCUAGCCUAGAGUAGCAUUGGCCGUUUUAAGGACUUAUUGAUUAUUACUUCACCUCAUCCUUGAUUCUGCUUCAAAAUAUUAGUCACCUCGACUAAUUCUACGUUAUGAUUCUAUAUAUCACCUUGCUAAAUGUAUUUUAUUCCAGUAUCAUCAAUGCUUUACUCAUUCAUUCUAUUAGAUCUGAUCUCACCCUUGUGCUUGCGACAUCUUUGUAGAUGACCCCUGACCAUAGCCUUUGUAUUUUGGGAUUCUAUCCUCUUCCAGUAUUAAAGUGCUACCAUUUGACCAUCCCUAUUCCCUUGGUAUUGACAUGAUUGUACCCCUAGAUUCUUCAAUACUCUUGUUUCAAAUACUUACCUCUGAAAACUCUAUUGUCUAUUUAAACAUUCCAGUUUAUAUGUCCAUGAAUUUCUUGUCCUCUGAAAUCCCUUCUUAUUCCGUUGUUAAGAUUGUUAUCCUUUGCCUUUUCUAUUCCCUUGUCCUGGUAUGCCUGUACCCUUAGGGUAUUGCAUACUCUUGUCUUUCUAGAUCUGCUUAUCUUUAUACCCUAAUGUUUGUUUAUAAACACUUCAGUUAAUAUGCCCUUGACCACCUUUGUUUCUUCAUGAUCCAUGAGCGGUCAUUUUAUUUUGCAUAUCCUUGGUAAUCUUGUUGUCUCCUUGUAACUCCACUUGGUAAUUAAUUUUCUUUACUUCAACCAUUCUGUUGCAACCUUACCUAUCUUACCCUUGACUGUUUUCUCCACUUCGCCACCUAGCGAGUCUUGCCUGAACUCUAUCCUUGUGCUUUUCAUUAUUAUCACCUUAACCUUUGACACCUCUAUAUCUUACUUGAUGUUUGUCUCAUACCUGCCCUUUAAAAUCACCUCUCUCCCGUCUUAUUCUGAGAGCUAUACUUUACCUAUCUUUACCUUGGUCACAUCCUCUUCUUUGGCUUGCGAGUUUGUAACUUCGUCCUUUGCUGUGCUUUUGUUUGUUACUGCAUCCACCUAUCCCAUCUCUCAAUCUUACCUUGGUGAUUACAUUAUUUUUUGUUAUCUAAAAUCUCCAAUCUCCUAUCCCAAUUUGAGAACGGUGUUUUACUUAUCUCAUCCUUGGCAAUAUCCUAUUCUUUACCGCGUGUAAGCCAUGACAUACCUCCAUUCUUUAUUGUACUUAUACCACUAGCUCUUAUAUGCCUUCACCUUUUCUCCUAUACUCUUGUCUGUUAUUGCCUUUGACCCUUGCGAUAUUUAUGUCAUCUACCUAAAUGCUUACCUUAAACUUAUCCUUUAAAAUCCUCUCCUUUAUUUUGAGAAAGUUUGAGAGUUGCGAGUUACCUAUCUCUCCCUUGAUUUCUUCUCACUUCUUGUCGCCUUACAAGUUUUGUGUUAAUUCCAUCCUUUGCGGUGUUUUUAUUUGCUACCACCAUCACCUUGUCAUCCAUCGAUCUUGCCUUGAUACUCAUCUUUAUUAAUACUCUUCAAAAAUCUCCUCUCUUCCACCUCAAUUUGAGAGCGACAAUUCACCUAUCUGGCCCUUCGACGUACCCUCUCCUUUUCCAUUUGAUGGUCCGGUCUUAACUUCUUUAUUUAUGGUACUUAUAUCCUCCGUCUUAUGCCUAUUUACCUCCUCUCAUACAUCCUUGUCCGUUAUUACCUUUAAAACCCUCGUGAUAUCUAUGCCCUUGCCUUCCUGCUUACCUUGAACCUACCCUUUGAAGCCCUCUCUUUUCCAUCACUGUUCAAGGAUAAUGCCUAAUCUAUUUCACCAUUGACUGCUCCCCCUUCUUUGACACCUUGCAAGUCUUGUCUAAAAUACAUCUUUUAUUGUGUGUUUGUUCAUUAUCACCUUAACCCUUGUCAUCCCUCGAUCGUUACCUUGAUGCUUAUCUUGUACCUGCAUUUUAAGGCCGCCUCUCCAAUUUCAUUUCAAGAGUGAUGUCUUACCCAUCCCGCUCUUUUUCUUUCCCUUUUCCUCUGUCGCGUUGCAAGUAUUAGCUUUUGCUCGAUAUCACCCUUACCUUUGUAAUAUCUAGAUCUUUCCAUGAUGCUUAUAUUAUGCCUACCAUUUGACUCAUCAUCUUUCCCAUCUCGAUUUGAGAAUUGUGUUUUACCUAUCCUGACCUUGGUUGCAUUCUCUCCCUGUCGGUUCCAAUCCUUGCUUUAGCUCCAUCCUUUAUUAUGCUCAUGCCCCUAUCAUACAUUUCUUAUUAUUCCCCUUGCCUUUCGAUGGCCUUAGAAUAGUUUCCCCUUGGUAAGGAAAGACCACCAUUUAAUUAAAAGUUACGUAUAGCAACGAGAUGUUUGUUGUUGUAUGCUUGUGUUGUUUGUCUUUGUGUUAUGACUGAUUUGCUUCUUCGUGAUGAGUGUUGGUGUGUUGUGGCCCUUGGUCCACAAUGGAAUCUGUUUACUAGGUGAAUGCCAUAGAGUUAAGUAUUUGGGUUCUCCCCCUGCUCUCUCUAAUCCGUCUAUACCUACCUUUUCUCGCUAUUCUUUCCUCUUGCACCUGUCCAUUUGGCAACCUCCAACUCCUCCAAAUCAGUCAAGAUCAGAGUCGGCAGCAUCUUCACCAAGUGCAUAUCAACACUCCUAUUAAGGGGGUUAGCCGCUAACCCCAAUGAAGACAAUGCGAUCAACAUCAGCCAACAAGAUCAAAGUGGCGCAGCGGAAGCGUGUGUGGGGUCCUAACCCACAGGUCUAAGAGAUCCUCAAGAAUUGCAUCCAUCGGUCUCAAGCAUCUAAAGGUCAAAGCAACCAGUCCGCAAGUUAAACUAGCAGAGUCAAAGUUAACUCAAAAAAAGUAGUGAACCACCCAUGAACCGACCUUGUUUUUCUUGCUAUCUUCUUCUUGAAUCUCGGGGCGAGAUUCCUGUUAAGGGGGUUAGAUUUGUAACACCCUGAAUUUGGGGGUAUAAAAUUUCUUUUCUAAUAUCCACCAAAUUCAGGUGUUACCCUCUAAAUCACUUGCUUUUCUUCUCUCUUUGUUGUUUCAAAAUAAUGGAGAGUUAUUUUAUUAUAUAUUUAUAUGUGAGUUUUUGGCGUAGUAAAAUAAAAUCCUAGAGAAACUUUGAUUAUUGCAUUCAAGUCGUUGCAAAGUGUUUAUGAGUGUAAAGGUUUUUCAAAACUACAUCGAAUAAUCUUGAUCUUGUUUCUGAAGGCUUUCAGGAACCUUCGAAACGUUCCUUCGAGUAUUAAUAUGAAUUUCAGUCUCUCUAAUUAUUAAUUAAGUACCUAAAUUUUUGUAUUUGCGAAAACUACAAAAAUCUUGGAAACACGAUAAUAUAUAUAUUUCUUCCUCUCGUCGAACCUGCUCCAAACCUCCUACCUUUUUCGCGAGAUCACCGAAUCACGUCUUCUCGCGAACAGCAUGCUGCCCGCGUCGGCUAUCCUCGUCAUUUUAGGUCCACAUGCCAGCUCUGGUCGCCUUCGUCUAAUUUGGUCUAACCCGCAUAAGUCAGUCUCUGUCCUACACUGUCUCGCGCAAUUGUAUUUUCCGCUCGGUCGCGACGCAAUUUGCGACGAAUUGAGCAACCAUCUCAUGUGCCCGUUUUUUUAUAUAUAAAUCCACCCGUCAUCGCAUAACCCCUCGUCUCGCCCAGAUCCAGAACGCAGGCGUGGAGGGCAGCUGUUACCAGGUACGCAGGCAUCCCUCUUCUUGUUUCCCAUUGCCAAAUUGCCUCCGAUUUCCCGAGACCCAGAUCACCCGAGCAUGCUCCUCAUCCCGGCGACGCACGUAAGCUUUCUCCUCUUCCCAGCGACACACUAUCUCGAAGCCUAUCGCCGACGAAUCCGUCCAGCCAAACCAUCCGUAGCCUCAUGCCCUCACUUCGUCGAAGCUCCUCGUUCAAGCAUGAUCCCAGGCCAUGGCCGACGUCCGCGCGUCCCAGCCCUCGCCGUUCCUCACAGUGCCUGCGAUGCUCAGCAGGGGGCGACCAUGGCGAGCCGCGGCCAGCCCGGCAUCCCUGCAAGCGACGCAGCCAAGCCUGGCCCGGCCAGCGCCAGGGCACGCCCCAACCUCCCUCUCGCAGUGCCCCCUCAAGAUCCAGCCGCCCCUCUCCCACUUCUUCCCUCUCCCUUCUCCCUUGGGCACGGCAGCAGCAGUCCCAGGUCAUCCAUGGUGGCCAUCGGCGCGACCGCUAAUCCCCUUCCAUGAGCCCACCCUUGCCGAGCUCCUCCCUGGCCGGCCGUCGUCCUUCUCCCAUGGGCGAGCUCGCCCUGGGCCGCGACCAACACCCUCCCUCUGCGGCAGCAACUUCCCCCAUCCCCCCUCCAUUUUCCUGUAACCGUGAGGUUGAAGACAUGUGUGGCCACACAGGAUCCGACCUGCAGGAUCUUUUGUGACCGUAACCCAUGUGACCCUUUGCGCAGCUCCGUUGCCUAGCCAAUAGAUUUACAUCACGUCAAUCAAGUUCGCAAAUCAUAAGCAAUUAAUAUAUUUUACGUCCUAAAUUAUUUUCGACUUGGUUCGGAUGCGUUAAGUUUGUAACCAUGUCGAUUACGUGUUAAUAACAUUAUUUUGUCGCGACAUAAGUUCAAUUAAUUAAUUAAUUUUUGGUUUGUACGUUGUUUAUUAAAGUAGCCAUUUGACUAAAACUAAUUCAUAGCUUUAUGCAUUAACUUGAUUAAUACCAACUCAAAUAUUUCGAUUCAAUAAUUGGUAGUGUAAUCACAUUAUUUGUUAGCGAUUAUCACGCGUCGUCGCACUAUCUGUGUGAUGUUCGCGCAUGAUGUUCUUGUGGCGCACGUGCUGUUCGCGCAAGUCGUUGCACGUUGUUCGCAUGCCGUUUACUCGUCAUCGUCAUACCUUCGCGCGAUCGCGCCACGCGUAUGGUUCACGUGUUGUCGCGCGCUGUUCGCGCGCGUCGUUAGUCACAUGGUCACGUGUUGCCGUGUGCGCGGUCCGUGUGCUCCUUCGCGCGUGCCGCAGGGUUGUUUCACUUGUCGUCGCGUGUGCGAAUUCACACUGUUCGCUCGCGUCGCCGCUCACAUAAAUUGCUAUUCAGACGCUUUGAUAAAAUCGUUUUGCCGCAUUGUUCAUGUUAAAUAAUUAAUUUCUUCUUUAGCGCCGGUUAGUUAAAAUAAUAGUUCGAUCGAACCUGUUAAGCGAUUAUGCCGACUUAGACGUUAUAUUCAAUAUCUGAUUAAUAUAAAACAAUAUAAUUUAGUGGUACCCGUAUGUCGUGUCGUUUAUAAAUUUAGUAUAUGUUUAAAUAUAGUGAGUCCUAUGCAUCGUGUUCAUAAAUAUAAUCUGACCAGUUUAAAAUGUGGUUUCCGAUCAAAUUACAAUCCCAAUUAAUGCCACAUUAGAUAUUUCUUUAGAGUAUCCUCCGUAAACGAUCUAUACUAAUUAGAAUCGGCCUAGAACAUAGAUUACACGUUUAUUAUGCAAACCUUCUGACAACCAUACCGUCUCAACCAUAGUUUCGAUUUUAGUGUUUAUUUCCUCGCGUGACUGUAGAAGCGAUCUCUAUUUCAUAGUACACGUUUUCAUAAUGGUUUCCAUUGUAUGGUGUAAUGUUCUUAUGCCAGUAUAUGUUUGUUUGUCUAUGUCUGUUCGUAUUCGCUGCGCGUCGCGAAUAGAUUGCAAUCUAUUCCCGAGCUUCGAGGAAUCGACGAUCAAGAUUUGGUGAACCACCGGUCCUGAGAUCAAGCUCUUCGAGUCCAACGAGAUCGAAGACCCUGAGCAUCUGUUUGGUGAAGGCAAGUGUCCUCUGACCCAUUAUGUCCCAUUUACUUUAUAAUACACUGUCCCGCAUACUAUGAACAACCUAAGGAUUUACUAGCUUUCUAUUUACCUGGUCCUUGAUUACCUUUUGGGCUACUAUGGUUAGCUUCAUGCUAGCGCUUUACUUUAAUCAAUGAACAUGAUGAGAUACAAUGAUGAUACUAUGGUUUUAUUCUGGAUAUGAUGAUUUACUUGUGACAUUUAAGGGGGCUCGAGCGGUUUCUCGAGUGCCUCUCCGUAAGGACCUGUUCGUUGAGAGACCACCCGGGAUAACAGUGCAACCAUGAGGGUGGAAUGGGGUGCCCUUAGCUAAUUAAUUAGAGGAACUAGAGGUGUAGUCGCUUCGCCGUCGUGCCGUUAAUGGGGUCCAGGCACAGUGCUUGCUCUGCCGAGGCGGGGUGCCGAGGUCCUUUCGUUUUGCUUUUGUUAGUCACCCUCCUGCGGGGAGGAGUACUGUGUUUAUCAAACUGGAGAAACCUAACGGGCGGCUAUGACCUCUAGGGAAUCUUUGUAAAAGCUACGUAGUGAUACCCUGCCGGACCACCUAGGAAGUGAUCAAUGGGGAGUCAUGAUCCCCGGGCAAAACGGGAAUCACGGCUCAUGGGUAAAGUGUGCGACCUCUGCAGAGGGUAGUGAAACUGAUAUAUCAGCCGUGCUCAUGGUUAAGAGCGGCCUUGGGAUCCUCUUUGAUUAGAGAUACAGAUGGUUCAAUAUACAAUGGUUCUAUUUAUGGUUUUGGCUCGAUGAUGAUAAUGAUGUUCCUCGAGGAGGAAAUGGUUCACGGGUUGGCUAUUACUAAAACUUGGCUUCCACUAAUAAUAAAUAUCUGACCAACUAAAAGCAACUGCUUGAGCUUAACCCCGCAUAAAGCUAGUCCACUACAGCCAAACGGGACAUUUGCUGAGUACGUUGAUGUGUACUCACCCUUGCUUUCACAAAACACCAGGUUGCCUUUGGUGUAAUCUAUGCUCAGGUAAAGAAGAAGUCGUCGAGGCGGAUCUCCAGGAGUUCCAGGACUUCGACGAGUCCGAGGAUUAGGCUAGCGACCUCCCCCAGUCAGCUGCCUGUGGUGGGUUGUUUACGUUGGCUACGUUUCGAUUCUGUGUACUUUGAUUUAUAUUAUGUAAAUGGCUCUAGUCUGUAAUAUUAUUACUUACUCUUUAUUGUAAUUCGAAGCAUUGUGCUAUGAUGAGUCAUUUAUGUAAUCGCUGUGUACGUGAAUAACUGAUCCUGGCACGUACAUGGUUCGCAUUCGGUUUACCUUCUAAAACCGGGUGUGACACCCACUGACUCAGGCUCGAGUCACAAGAAGAGGGAUGAGAAGAAGAAGAGACACAUCAAGAAGAUCAUCUACUACGACAUCGAUGCAUCUUCCUCUUCACCAAGGGACAACAACUCCUCGUCCAAGAAAAGACGGUUAAUCAAAACUAUUCCUUGAUUAUUCCCGUAUUCCGUAUAAUUUGAAUGCCCAUUUACUUUCUAUUCCUCUUGGAAAACCCCCACACUUUGAUGGAGAUGAUUACUCAUUUUGGAGCCAUAAAAUGCGUAGUCAACUAUUUUCUCUCCAUCCUAGCAUUUGGGAAAUUAUGGAAAAUGGGAUGCAUUUUGAUAGUACGGAUAAUCCUGUGCUUAUUAAUGAACAAAUUCAUAAAAUGCCCAAGCUACUACUACUAGCGUCACUUUACAGGGAUGAGUAUAAUAAAGUGAGUGGCCUGGACAAUGCUAAGCAAAUCUAAGAAACCCUCAAGAUAUCUCAUGAGGGAAACGACGCCACUAUGAUCACCAAGAUGGAACUAGUGGAAGGCGAGCUGGGGAGGUUCGCGAUGAUCAGGGGAGAGGAGCCAACAUAGACCUACAACAGACUCAAGACCCUGGUCAACAAAAUCCGAAGCUACAGGAGCACCAGAUGGACGGAUCAUGACGUUGUCCGACUCAUGCUCAGGUCAUUUACCGUUAUUGACCCCCAUCUUGUCAACCUUAUUUGUGAAAACCCCAGGUACACCAAGAUGACGCCCGAGGAGAUCCUUGGAAAAUUUGUGAGAAAGCGCAUGAUGGUGAAGGAGGCGCGAUACGUGGACGAUGCACUAAAUGGUCCACUACCCGUCUACGAGCCGCAGCCCGUUGCUCUCAAAGCAACGGGCAGCAGGGAGGCACUACCAAGCAAGGUAGCACAAGUGGAGGUUGUCAGGCUCAACGAGGACGAAAUGGCGCUCAUCAUCAAGUGCUUCAAAACCACCUUGAAAGGACGCAAGGAAUACCCCAACAAGAAUAAAACAAGGGGAAAGCGCUCCUGCUUCAAAUGCGGUAAGACUGGUCAUUUCAUAGCAUAAUGCCCCGAUAAUGAUAAUGACCAGUGACAAGAAAAGCACGGGAAGAGGGAGAAGAAGAAGAACAAUAGGAAGGCGAAGGGCGAGGCGCACCUUGGAAAGGAAUGGGAUUCUGACUGCUCUUCAUCCGACUCCGAUGAUGAAGGAUUGGCUGCCUCAGCCUUCGACAAAUCUUCGCUCUUCCCCAAUGAACAUUGAAAGGGAAAUAGGGUCAAACCUUUUCCUAAAUGAUUUUGGUGGUUGAAAUGCCCAACACAAAUAAUUGGACUAACUAGUUUGCUCUAGAUUAUAUGUUCUACGGGUGCCAAAGGUUCAACACAAACCAAUAAAAAGAUACGAGUUAGGGUUCAAAAGAAAGGAGCAAAGGAAACCGAAGAGAACCCUGGUCUGGCGCACCGGACUGUCCGGUGUGCCACCAGACAGUGUUCGGUGCACCAGGGUGGAUCGACUUCAAACCUUUCACCUUCGGGUUUCUAGAAAAGCCACUCCGCUAUAAUUCACCGGACUGUCCGGUGUACCACCGGACUGUCCGGUGUGCCAGCGGAGCAACGACUCCAGCGCAACGGUCGACUCCAACGGACACCUGCAAAAGCGCUAUAGUGCGCGGACAGUUACAUAGAGUCAGAGCAGGCGCCAGAAGGCGCACCGAACAAUGAACAGUACCCGUCCGGUGCGGCACUAGACUGUCCGGUGCACCAAGAUGUCAGAGCUCCAACGAUCGAAACCGUCAGAACCCUAACGGUUGGGUGACAUGACUAGCGCACCGGACCGUCCGAUGCGCCCAUCGACAGCAGCCCUCCCCAACGGUUGUUUUGGUGGUUGGGGCUAUAAAUACCCCCAACCACCUCUAUUCAAGGCAUCCAAGUUGUCAGCCGUUGCAUUCAAUACAAGAGCUCUAGACUUCACUCCAAGACACAAACAAGAGAUCAAAUCCUCUCCCAAGUCCAAAAUCACUCCAAACACUUAGUGACUAGUGAGAGAGAGAUUUUCGUGUUCAUUUUAGUUCUUGUCGCUUGGAUCGCUUUUCUUCUUCCCCAUUCUUGUUCCCAAGACACUUGUAAUCAAAGCAAGAGACACCAAUUGUGUGGUGGUCCUUGUGGGGUCAAAGUGACCCAUUUGAUUGAGGAGAAAAGCUCACUCGGUCUAGGUGACCGUUUGAGAGAGGGAAAGGGUUGAAAGAGACCCGGUCUUUGUGACCACCUCAACGGGGAGUAGGUUUGCAAGAACCGAACCUCGGUAAAACAAAUCACCGUGUCACUCGCUUAUUUCUUGGUUGAUUUGUUUUCGCCCUCUCUUUUGGACUCGGUUUUAUUUCUAACGCUAACCCAGCUUGUAGUUGUGCUUAAAGUUUAUAAAUUUCAGAUUUUCCUAUUCACCCCCUCUAGGCGACUUUCAAUUGGUAUCAGAGCCGAUACUUCAUUAGAGUCUAACCACUCGAAGUGAUGUCGGGAGGAUCCGCCAAGAGGGAGAUGGAAACAAACACAAGCCACGAGAAAGCUCCAUUGAAGGAGUCCGGUGCCAAAGGAAGGGACGAAUCACCUCCCCGCAUCAAGUCACAUCGGAGUGGCGACAAGAAGAAGAAGAAGAUGAAGAAAGUGGUCUACUACGAGACCGACUCUUCGUCGCCAUCCACCUCUGGCUCCGACGCUCUGUUCGUCACUUCUAAGCACCAUGAGCGCAAGAAGUUUAGUAAGAUCCCCUUACGCUAUCCUCGCAUUUCUAAACAUACUCCAUUACUUUCCGUCCCAUUAGGCAAACCACCGGUUUUGACGGUGAAGAUUAUUAUAUGUGAAGUGAUAAAAUGAGGCAUCACCUAACCUCACUUCACUCUAGCAUUUGGGACAUUAUUGAGUUUGGAGCGAAUGUACCAUCCGUAGGGGAUGAAGGAUAUGAUUCGGACGAAGUUGCCCAAAUCCGACACUUCAACUCCCAAGCCACUACUAUACUCCUCGCCUCUCUAAGUCGAGAGGAGUAUAAUAAGGUGCAAGGGUUGAAGAGUGCCAAACAGAUUUGGGACGUGCUCAAGACCGUGCACGAAGGGGAUGAGGUGACAAAGAUCACCAAGCGAAAUACGAUCGAGGGGGAGCUCGGUUGGUUCGUCCUCAACCAAGGAGAGGGGCCACAAGCCACGUACAAGCGGCUCAAGACCUUGGUGAAUCAAGUGCGCAACCUCGGGAGCACAAAAUGGGAUGACCAUGAAAUUGUCAAGGUUAUUCUAAGAUCACUUGUUUUUCUUAAUCCUACACAAGUUCAAUUAAUUCGUGGUGAUCCUAGAUACAAGCUAAUGUCUCCCGAGGAGGUUAUAGGAAAGUUUGUGAGCUUUGAAUUGAUGAUCAAAGGCUCCAAACAAAUCAUCGAGCGAGGCGCCACCUCCACACCCGAGGUGCAACCUGUCGCAUUCAAAGCGACGGAGGAAAAGAAAGAAGAGUCUACGUCAAGUAGGCUCCCCAUCGACGCCUCCAAGCUCGACAACGAGGAAAUGGCGCUCAUCAUCAAGAGUUUUCGCCAAAUCCUCAAACAAAGGAGGGGGAAAGACUACAAGCCCCGCUCCAAGAAAGUGCGCUACAAGUGUGGUAAGCCCGGUCAUUUAUUGCUAAAUGUUCAUUAUCAAGUGAUAGUGACAGGGGCGACGACAAGAAGGGAAGGAGGAAGGAAAAGAAGAAGUACUACAAAAAGAAGGGCGGCGAUGCCCACGUGUGUCGGGAAUGGGACUCCGAUGAGAGCUCCACCGACUCCUCCUCCGACGAGGACACCACCAACUUAGCCGUCAUCAAAGGCCUCCUCUUCCCCAACGUCGGCCACAAGUGCCUCAUGGCAAAGGACGGCAAAAAGAAGAAGGUAAAAUCUAGAGCCUCCACUAAAUAUGCAACAUCUAGUGAUGAGGAUAUCUCUAGCGAUGAUGAGGAUAAUUUGCUUGCCCUUUUUGCCAACCUAAACAUGCAACAAAAGGAAAAAUUGAAUUCAUUGAUAGGUGCCAAUCAUGAGAAGGAUGAACUCUUGGAUAGCCAAGAGGAAUUCCUUAUUAAAGAAAAUAAAAAACAUGUUAAGGUAAAAAAUGCAUAUGCUCAGGAAGUAGAGAAAAAUGAACACUUAUUUAGUGAGCUUAACAUUUGCCAUGACACUAUCUCUAACCUUAGAAUUGAAAAUGCCAAAUUAAUUGCUAAGGUUGAGAAAUUAAAUGUUUGUGAUGAUUCUCUUGUCAACUUUAAAAUGAUAAUGCUAGUUUGAUUGCUAAGAUUGACAAGUUGAAUGAAUCAAUGUCUAGCCUUAAGAUUGAGAAUGAUAAACUAAUUUCUAAGGCUAAAGAUGUAAAUGUUUGCAAUGUUUCUAUUUCUAAUCUUAGAAAUGAGAAUGCCAUGUUACAUGCUAAGAUUCAUGAAUUAAAUGCUUGCAAACCCUCUACAUCGACUGGCGAUCAUGUUUCUAUUUGCAUGAGAUGUAGAAAUAUUAAUGUUGAUGCUAUCCAUGAUCACAUUUCUAUGAUUAAACAACAAAAUGAUCAUAUAACUAAACUAGAUACUAAAAUUGUCGAGCAUGAAUUAGAAAAUGAAAAAUUUAAAUUUGCUCGUAGCAUGCUUUAUAAUGGGAGACGCCCUAGCAUUAAGGAUGGCAUUGGCUUCCAACAGGGAGAUAAUGUCAAGCUUAAUGCCCCCAAAAAAUUAUCUAAUUUUGUUAAGGGUAAGGCUCCCAUGCCUCAGGAUAACGAGGGUUACAUUUUAUAUCCUGCUGGUUAUACUGAGCAUAAAAUUAGGAGAAUUCAUUAUAGGAAGUCUCAUUCUGGUUCUCAUCAUGCUUUUAUGUAUAAGAAUGAGACAUCUAGUUCUAGGCAUACCACUCAUAUUAAAAUGCCUAAAAAGAAAUAUCCUGUUGCAUCAAAUGAAUCUAUUAUUUCAUUUAAGACUCUUGAUGCUUCAUAUGUUUUAACUAACAAAUCAGGCAAAUUAGUUGCCAAAUAUGUUGGGGGCAAACACAAGGGCUCCAAGACUUGUGUUUGGGUACCCAAGGUGCUUGUUUCUAAUGUGAAAGGACCCAAGACCGUUUGGGUACCUAAGAACAAGGCCUAAACUUGUUUUGUAGGUUUAUGCAUCCGGGGGCUCAAGUUGGAUCAUUGAUAGAGGAUGCACAAAUCACAUGACAGGGGAGAAAAGGAUGUUCUCCUCCUACGAGAAAAAAGAUGAUCCCCAAAGAGCUAUCACAUUCGGGGAUGGAAACCAAGGUUUGGUCAAAGGACUUGGUAAAAUUACUAUAUCACCUGACCAUUCUAUUUCCAAUGUUUUUCUUGUAGGUUCUCUAGAUUAUAACUUGCUUUUAGUUCUCAAUUAUGCAAAAUGGGCUACAACUGUCUUUUUACAGAUUUAGGUGUUACUGUCUUUAGAAGAAGUGAUGAUUCAGUAGCAUUUAAGGGAGUACUCGAGGGUCAGCUAUACUUAGUUGAUUUCAAUAGAGCUGAACUCGAUACUUGCUUAAUUGCUAAGACUAAUAUGGGUUGGCUCUGGCAUCGCCGACUAGCCCAUGUUGGAAUGAAGAAUCUUCACAAACUUCUAAAGGGAGAACACAUUUUGGGACUAACCAAUGUUCAUUUUGAGAAAGACAGGGUUUGUAGCGCAUGUCAAGCAGGGAAGCAAGUUGGUGCUGACCAUCCACACAAGAACAUCAUGACGACCGACAUGCCGCUUGAGCUACUCCACAUGGAUCUAUUUGGCCCGAUAGCUUACAUAAGCAUCAGCGGGAGUAAGUAUUGUCUUGUAAUUGUGGAUGAUUAUUCUCGCUUCACUUGGGUGUUCUUUUUGCAGGAAAAACCACAAACCCAAGAGACCUUAAAGAGAUUCUUGAGACGGGCUCAGAACGAGUUCGGAUUAAGGAUCAAGAAGAUAAGAAGCGACAACGGGACGGAGUUCAAGAAUUCUCAAAUUGAAGGCUUUCUUGAGAAAGAGGGCAUCAAGCAUGAGUUCUCUUCUCCAUACACACCUCAACAAAAUGGUGUAGUGGAGAGGAAGAAUAGAACUCUACUUGACAUGGCGAGGACCAUGCUUGAUGAGUACAAGACUUCGGACCGGUUUUGGGCGGAAGCAAUCAAUACUGCUUGCUACUCCAUCAACCGACUCUUCCUUCACCGAAUCCUCAAGAAGACAUCAUAUGAACUCCUAACCGGUAAAAAGCCCAAUGUUUCAUAUUUUAGAGUCUUUGGUAGCAAAUAUUUUAUUCUUGUUAAAAGAGGUAGAAAAUCUAAAUUUGCUCCUAAGGCUGUAGAAGGCUUUUUACUUGGUUAUGACUCAAACACAAGGGCAUAUAGAGUCUUCAACAAAUCCACUGGAUUAGUUGAGGUUUCUUGUGACAUUGUGUUUGAUGAGACUAAUGGCUCUCAAGUAGAGCAAGUUGAUCUUGAUGAGCUAGAUGAUGAAGAGGUUCCGUGCGUCGCACUAAAGAACAUGUCCAUUGGGGAUGUGUGCCCUAAGGAAUCCGAAGAGCCUCCACAAGCACAAGAUCAAUCGUCAUCUUCCAUGCAAGCAUCUCCACCAACCCAAAAUGAGGAUCAAGCUCAAGAUAAUGAAAAUGAAGAUCAAGAAGAGCCACCUCAAGAGGAGGACAAUGAUCAAGGGGGAGAUGUCAAUGAUCAAGACAAGGAAGAUGAUCAGGGUCCAAGACCGCCACACCCAAGAGUCCACCAAGCGAUACAACGAGAUCACCCCAUGAACUCCAUCCUCGGAGAUAUUCAUAAGGGGGUAACCACUCGAUCUCGUGUCGCUCAUUUUUGUGAACAUUACUCUUUUGUGUCUUCUAUUGAGCCAUACAGGAUGGAAGACACAUUAAGGGAUUCGGAUUGGGUGCUGGCAAUGCAAGUGGAACUCAACAACUUCACGAGAAAUGAGGUAUGGCAUCUUGUUCCACAUCCUAAUCAAAAUGUUAUAGGAACCAAGUGGGUCUUCCGCAACAAGCAAGAUGAGCAUGGUGUGGUGACAAGGAACAAAGCCCGACUUCUAGCCAAGGGCUAUUCACAAGUCGAAGGUUUGGAUUUCGGUGAAACCUAUGCACCUGUAGCUAGGCUUGAGUCAAUUCGUAUAUUACUUGCCUUUGCUACUUACCAUAGCUUUAAGCUUUACCAAAUGGACGUGAAAAGUGUCUUCCUCAAUGGACCAAUCAAGGAAGAGGUCUAUGUUGAGCAACCUCCCGGCUUUGAAGAUAGUGAGUACCCUAAUCAUGUUUACAAACUCUCUAAGGCGCUUUAUAGGCUCAAGCAAGCCCCCAAGAGCAUGGUAUGAAUGCCUAAGAGAUUUCCUUAUCACUAAUGGCUUCAAAGUCGGUAAAGCCGAUCCUACACUCUUUACUAAAACUAUUGCAAAUGAUUUGUUUGUAUGCCAAAUUUACGUUGAAGAUAUCAUGUUUGGGUCUACUAACAAAUCUACUUGUGAAGAGUUUAGUAGGAUAAUGAUUCAAAAAUUAGAGAUGUCUAUGAUGGGGGAGUUGAAGUAUUUCCUAGGAUUUCAAGUGAAGCAACUCCAAGAGGGCACCUUCAUUAGCCAAACGAAGUACAUUCAAGACAUACUCACUAAGUUUAGAAUGAAGGAUGUCAAGCCCAUCAAGACACCCAUGGGAACCAAUGGGCAUCUCGACCUCGACACGGUAGGUAAAUCCGUAGAUCAAAAGGUAUACCGGUCGAUGAUAGGAUCUCUACUCUAUUUAUGUACAUCUCGACCGGAUAUUAUGCUUUCUGUAUGCAUGUGUGCAAGGUUCCAAGCCGAUCCUAAGGAAGUUCACCUUAGGGCCGUGAAAAGAAUCUUGAGAUAUUUAGUUCAUACACCUAAGUUUGGUGUUUGGUACCCCAAGGGAUCCACUUUUUAUUUAAUAGGCUAUUCCGAUGCUGAUUGGGCAGGGUGUAAAAUUGAUAGGAAGAGCACAUCAGGGACUUGUCAGUUUCUGGGAAGAUCCCUGGUGUCUUGGGCUUCAAAGAAACAAAACUCAGUAGCUCUUUCUACCACCGAAGCCGAGUAUAUUGCCGCAGGCCAUUGUUGCGCGUAAUUGCUUUGGAUGAGGCAAACCCUUAGGGACUAUGGCUAAAAAUUAACCAAAGUCCCUCUCCUAUGUGAUAAUGAGAGUGCAAUCCGCAUGGCGGAUAAUCCCGUUGAGCACAGCCGCACUAAGCACAUAGCCAUUCGGUAUCACUUUUUGAGGGAUCACCAACAAAGGGGGAUAUCGAGAUUGCUUAUGUUAGCACCAAAGAACAAUUAGCCGAUAUCUUUAUCAAACCAUUAGAUGAGAAAACCUUUACCAAACUUAGGAAUGAGCUCAACAUUCUUGAUUCUAGGAACUUUGAUUGAUACUUUGCACAUAUAGCUCAUUUAUGUACCUUUGACCAUAUCUCUUUCAUGUGCUAUGACUAAUGUGUUUUCAAGUAAAUUCUUAUGCUAAGUCAUAAAUUGAAAGGGAAAUGGAGUCUCCGGCGAAGACAAGGCUUCCACUCCACUCUAUCGGUAUUAUUUACCCUUCACCGUCACUCCGAACCGCUCUCCACUUUGGUAUAAUCUUCACUCUUAUUACUCAUACAAUUGGGGAGAAAGUAAAAGGGCUCUAAAGACUCCGUUUUUGGUGAUUAAUGUCAAAAGGGGAGAGAGUAUUAGCCCAAAGCAAAAGGACCAUACCACCACACCAAUUUCAAAAAAAUUCGAAAUCUAGUUUUCAAUUGGUAUCUUUAAAAUUAGGAUUCCUCUAAGAAAUUCUAUCUCAAUUGGUAUCUAUAUUUUAAGGAGGAGUUUUUCAAAAUUGGUAUCUAAAAUAUUUGAUCUUCUUUCAAAUGGUAAAAAACCCUCUUGAACACUAAGAGGAGAAUUUCAUGAAAGGGGAGUUUUGUUUAGUCAAAGGAAAAGCAUUUGAAACAGGGGGAGAAAAUUUCAAAUCUUGAAAAUGCUCCCCGAAAUCUUAUUCAUAUACCUUUGACUAUUUGCAAAAAGACUUUGAAAAGAAUUUCCAAAAAGAUUUGCAAAAACAAAACAAGUGGUGCAAAGUGGUCCAAAAUAUUAAAAGAAAGAAAGCAAUCCAUGCAUAUCUAAUGAAAGUAUAAAUUGGUUUAAUUCCAAGCAACCUUUGCACUUACCUUAUGCAAACUAGUUCAAUUAUGCACUUAUAUAUUUGCUUUGGUUUGUGUUGGCAUCAAUCACCAAAAAGGGGGAGAUUGAAAGGGAAAUAGGGUUAAACCAUUUCCUAAAUGAUUUUGGCAGUUGAAAUGCCCAACACAAAUAAUUGGACUAACUAGUUUGCUCUAGAUUAUAUGUUCUACAGGUGCCAAAGGUUCAACACAAACCAAUAAAAAGAUACGAGUUAGGGUUCAAAAGAAAGGAGCAAAAGAAACCAAAGAGAACCCUGGUCUGGCGCACCGGAUUGUCCGGUGCACCAGGGUGGAUCGACUUCAAACCUUUCACCUUCGGGUUUCUGGAAAAGCCACUCCGCUAUAAUUCACCGGACUGUCCGGUGUACCACCGGACUGUCCGGUGUGCCAGCGGAGGAACGACUCCAGCGCAACGGUCGACUCCAACGGACACCUGCAAAAGCGCUAUAGUGCGUGGACUAUUCGCGCAGAGUCAGAGCAGGCACCAGAAGGCGCACCGAACAGUGAACAGUUCUUGUCCGGUGCAGCACCGGACUGUCCGGGGCACCAAGAUGUCAGAGCUCAAACGGUCGAAACCGUCAUAACCCUAACGAUUGGGUGACGUGGCUGGCGCACCGGAUAGUGUCUGGUGGCGCACCGGACUGUCCGGUGCGCCCAUCGACAGUAGCCCUCCCCAACGGCUGUUUUGGUGGUUGGGACUAUAAAUACCCCCAACCACCUCUAUUCAAGGCAUCCAAGUUUUCAGCAAUUGCAUUCAAUACAAGAUCUCUAGACUUCACUCCAAGACAAAAACAAGAGAUCAAAUCCUCUCCCAAGUCCAAAAUCACUCCAAACACUUAGUGACUAGUGAGAGAGAGAUUUUCGUGUUCAUUUUAGUUCUUGUCGCUAGGAUCGCUUUUCUUCUUCCCCAUUCUUGUUCCCAAGACACUUGUAAUCAAAGCAAGAGACACCAAUUGUGUGGUGGUCCUUGUGGGGUCUAAGUGACCCAUUUGAUUGAGGAGAAAAGCUCACUCGGUCUAGGUGACCGUUUGAGAGAGAGGGAAAGGGUUGAAAGAGACCCGGUCUUUGUGACCACCUCAAUGGGGAGUAGGUUUGCAAGAACCGAACCUCGGUAAAACAAAUCAAUGUGUCACUCGCUUAUUUCUUGGUUGAUUUGUUUUCGCCCUCUGUUUCGGACUCGGUUUUAUUUCUAACGCUAACCCGACUUAUAGUUGUGCUUAAAGUUUAUAAAUUUCAGAUUUGCCUAUUCACCCCCCUCUAGGCAACUUUCAAACGCCAUACUUGCCUUAUGGCUAAGGAAAAGAAGGUACACAUUCGAGAUACCCCCAAAUACUCUUCUUCUAGCGAUGAGGAAUCAUCUGAUGAUGAAGUAGAUUACACUGAUUUGUUUAAGAGAUUAGAUAGAGCUAAAUUAGACAAAAUUAACGAAUUAAUUGAUGCCCUUAAUGAAAAGGAUAGAUUACUAGAAAAGCAAGAAGAUAUCUUGUAUGAGGAACAUGAUAAAUUUGUUAGUGUUCAAAAAUCUCUUGCUUUAGAAAUUAAAAGAAAUGAAAUGCUAUCCUCUGAGUUGUCUGCUUGUCAUGAAUCUGUCUCUAGUCUAAAGGAUUUAAAUGAUGAAUUAAAUGCUAAACUAGAGGAAGCAAAUGCAACUAGAUCAUGUGUAGAAUAUGUAGUUAUUUGCAAUAGAUGUAAGGACUUUGAUGUUAAUGCCUGUGAUGAACAUCUUGCUUCUAUUGCUAAAUUAAACAAUGAGGUGGCAAGUCUUAAUGCUCAACUUAAAACUUGCAAAAUGGAUUAUGAUAAACUAAAAUUUGCUAGGGAUGCCUACACUGUUGGUAGACACCCCUCAAUUAAGGAUGGGCUUGGUUUUUGAAAGGAAACCAAGAACUUAACAAGCCAAAGGACUCUCGUUCUCAACAAGGAGAAAGGGAAGGCUCCUAUGACUAGUAGUUCUCAAAAGAAUCAUGCUUAUAUUUAUGAUAGAAAAUUUACUAGGCAUGCUCAUAAUGAUAGAUGCUAUGAUCAUGCUGUUCUACCUGGUUAUCAUUCUUCUCAUGCUAUGAUUGCUUCUAGCUCCACUUAUGAUUAUGGUAGAAAUAGGCCCAGGCGUAAUCAUGUUGUGUCUCAUGCGCCUAGGAGAGUUUGCAAUGGUCCUACUACUGUUUACCAUACUUGCGAUACUUCCUUUGUACUUUCAUGUAAAAAUGCAAAAGUAGUAGCUAGAAAAUUGGGAUCCAAAUGCAAGGGAGACAAGACUUUUAUUUGGAUGUCAAAAGUUAUUGUGACUAACCUUGUAGGACCCAACAAGAGUUGGGUACCUAAAACCCAAGCUUAAUUUGCCUUGCAGGUUUAUGCAUCCGGGGGCUCAAGCUAGAUUAUCGACAGCGGAUGCACGAACCACAUGACGAGGGAGAAGAAAAUGUUCACCUCCUACGUCAAAAACAAGGAUUCCCAGGAUUCGAUCAUCUUUGGAGAUGAGAACCAAGGCAAGGUAAAAGGAUUGGGAAAGAUAGCCAUCACAUCCGAGCAUUCUAUCUCUAAUGUGUUUUUAGUUGAAUCGCUCGGGUAUAAUUUGUUAUCUGUGAGUCAAUUAUGUAACAUGGGUUAUAAUUGUUUAUUCACAAAUGUAGAUGUAUCUGUCUUUAGAAGGAGUGAUGGUUCAUUAGCUUUUAAGGGUGUAUUAGACGACAAGCUCUACUUAGUUGAUUUUUCGAAAGAGAAUGCCGAUCUAGAUGCAUGCUUAAUAGCUAAGACGAAUAUGGGCUGGCUUUGGCAUCACCAUCUAGCACAUGUUGGGAUGAAGAACCUUCAUAAGCUUCUAAAGGGAGAUCAUGUGUUAGGACUAACCGAUGUCUGUUUUGAGAAAGACAGACCUUGUGCAGCAUGUCAGGCAGGGAAACAGGUGGGAAGCACUCAUCACAGCAAAAAUGUGAUGAUUACAUCAAGACCACCGGAGCUUCUUCACAUGGAUCUCUUCGGACCCGUUGCCAACCUCAGCAUUGGGGGAACUAAGUAUGGUCUUGUAAUUGUUGAUGAUUUUUCCUGCUUCACUUGGGUAUUCUUUCUACAGGAUAAGUCAGAAACCCAAGGGACUCUAAAGUGCUUCUUAAGGAGAGCUCAAAAUGAAUUUGAGCUAAAGGUGAAGAAGAUAAGAAGCGAAAAUGGGUCCGAGUUCAAAAAUCUACAAGUAGAAGAGUUUCUUGAGGAGGAAGGCAUCAAGCACGAGUUCUCCGCUCCCUACACACCAUAGCAAAAUGGUGUGGUAGAGAGGAAGAACAGGACACUAAUCGACAUGGCAAGAACGAUGCUUGGAGGUUCAAGACGCCCGAGCAGUUUUGGUCGGAAGCUGUGAACACAGCUUGCCACACCACAAACCGGCUCUAUCUGCAUCGCCUCCUCAAGAAGACCUCCUACGAACUCCUUACCGGUAACAAACCCAACGUCUCUUACUUUCGUGUAUUUGGGAGCAAAUGUUGCAUUCUGGUGAAGGUAGACAUUCUAAAUUUGCUUCCAAGGCUGUAGAAGGGUUUUUACUAGGAUAUGACUAAAAUACAAAGGCGUAUAGGGUCUUCAACAAAUCAUCGGGAUUAGUUGAAGUCUCUAGCGACAUUGUAUUUGAUGAUACUAAUGGCUCUCCAAGAGAGCAAGUUGAUCUUGAUGACAUAGAUGAAGAUGAAAUUCCGAAGGCCGCAAUGCGCACGAUGGCGAUAGGAGAUGUGCGACCUGGAACUGCAGGAACAAGAUCAACCCUCUUACUCAACACUGGUGCAUCCCCCAACUCAAGAUGAUGUACAGGUACCUCAAGAAGAGGGGCAUGAUCAAGGGGGAGCACAUGAAGAACAAGUUGUGGAGGAAGAGGCACCACGGAUCCCUCCAACUCAAGUCCGAGUGUCGAUCCAAAAACAUCACCCCGUUGAUCAAAUUUUGAGUGACAUCAGCAAGGGAGUAACCACUCGCUCACGAUUAGCUACUUUUUGUGAGCAUUACUCGUUUGUCUCUUCUAUUGAGCCUUUCAGGGUAGAAGAAGCCUUGUAGGAUCCGGACUGGAUGUUGGCCAUGCAGGAAGAGCUCAACAACUUCAAAAGGAAUGAAGUCUGGAGCCUGGUGCCACGUCCAAAGCAAAACGUUGUGGGAACCAAGUGGGUGUUCCGCAACAAGAAAGACGAGCACGGGGUGGUGAGAAGAAACAAGGCUCGACUUGUGGCAAAAGGUUAUGCUCAAGUCGCAGGUUUGGAUUUCGAGGAGACUUUUGCUCCUGUGGCUAGGCUAGAGUCAAUUCGAAAUUUUAUUAGCCUAUGCCGCUCACCAUUCCUUUAGGCUGUUUCAAAUGGACGUGAAGAGCGCUUUCCUCAAUGGGCCAAUCAAGGAGGAGGUAUACGUGGAACAACCCCCUGACUUUGAGGAUGACAGGUAUCCCGACCAUGUAUAUAAUCUCUCUAAGGCGCUCUAUGGACUUAAGCAAGCCCCAAGAGCAUGGUAUGAAUGCCUUAGAGAUUUUCUAAUUGCUAAUGCUUUCAAGGUUGGGAAAGCCGAUCCCACUCUUUUUACAAAGUCUUGUGAGGAGUUUAGCUGGGUUAUGAUGCAAAAGUUCGAGAUGUCCAUGAUGGGCGAGUUGACUUACUUUCUUGGAUUCCAAGUGAAGCAACUCAAAGAUGACACCUUCAUCUCCCAAAUGAAGUAUACCCAAGAUCUUCUCAAGAGGUUUGGAAUGAAGGAUGCUAAGCCCAUGAAGACACCAAUGGGGACUGACGGACAUCUCGACCUCAACACAGGAGGUAAGUCCGUUGAUCAAAAGACAUACCGGUCUAUGAUAGGUUCAUUACUUUAUCUUUGUGCUAGUAGACCGGACAUUAUGCUUAGUGUAUGCAUGUGUGCUAGAUUUCAAUCCGACCCCAAGGAGUGUCACCUUGUGGCCGUUAAGCGAAUUCUUAGGUAUUUAGUUUCUACGCCUUGUUUCGGGAUUUGGUAUCCAAAGGGGUCUACCUUUGACUUAAUUGGAUACUCAGACUCUGAUUAUGCUGGGUGCAAGGUUGAUAGGAAGAGCACAUCAGGGACGUGCCAAUUUCUAGGAAGGUCCCUGGUGUCCUGGAGUUCCAAGAAACAAACAUCUGUUGCCCUAUCCACCGCUGAGGCCGAGUACGUUGCCGUAGGACAGUGUUGCGCGCAACUGCUUUGGAUGAGGCAAACCCUCCGUGACUUUGGCUAUAAUCUGAGCAAAGUCCCACUCCUAUGUGACAAUGAGAGUGCAAUCCGCUUGGCAGAUAAUCCAGUUGAACACAGCCGCACUAAGCACAUAAGACAUCCGACAUCACUUCCUGAGAGACCACCAGCAAAAGGGAGAUAUCGAUAUUUAUCAUAUUAGCACCGAGAACCAGCUAGCUGAUAUCUUCACCAAGCCUUUAGAUGAGAAAACAUUUUGCAGGUUGCGUAGUGAGCUAAAUGUCUUAGAUUUGCGUAACUUGGAUUGAUCUAUAGCAUACAUGUGUUCUAUGCCUUGAUCAUCUUACUUUGAGCAUUUAAAUCAAUUAUUGUUUGUUUGUGGUGCUCAAGUUGUACAAGUCAUCCCCAGACCUCACAAGUCCGUAUGCAAAUGAUGCACAUGUUUAGGGGGAGAUGUGCUACAACUUGACUCCUUUGAGACUAACUUGUUUGCUUGAGUAUACUUGAAGUAGCCUCGAAGGACCAUUGAAAGGGAAAAUGAACUUGGAUGAUGAAAAGACUUCCACUGCACUCCGGUAUUAGUGUAUUUCAUUCCAAGUUCAUACUAAUGUUCUCGUUUCCUUUCCGCUCUUAUUUGACAUUUUGGUGAGGCAAUGGGGUUAAAAGGGCCAAAAGUUUUCCCGUUUUGGUGCUUAAUGCCAAAUGGGGAGAAAUUAAGGGCCAAAGCAACUGGAUCAGCCAACCACUUGUGAAUUUCAAAAAUAGUAGAGUUAGGAUUUGUAUUUUGCACAAAUAACUCUUAUUGCAAAAUUUGGUCUCUUAUGGGGGAGAAUUUUGAUUAUGGGAAAAAGGGGGAGUUUUGACACUUGAUCAAUUUUACUCUUGGAAUAUCUCUCAAUUUGCCCAAACAAGUGUGUUUGACUUAGAGAUAGGAAAAAUAAUAUGAUUUGCAAAAACAAACCAAGUGGUGGCAAAUAGUGAUCCAAAUAUGCCAAAUCUUAAGUAAAAAGAAUUUGGUCUUCAUUACACUUUUAUAGCUUUUUUGAUGUGUUGGCAUAAAUCACCAAAAAGGGGGAGAUUGAAAAGGAAAUGUGCCCUUGGACCAUUUCUAUAAGUAUUUUGGUGAUUAGAUGUCCAACACAUAUUGAGUAAGUUCUUAUGUGCCAAAUAAGUGAGAAGUGUGAAAUCAAGAACAAGGUAUGUGUCAGAGAGGAAAUCUCCGGCCGGGUGGCGGAAUGCACCCGCCCUAAAUCCUAAGAUGAGGAGGGGCCUAAGUGUUCUGCCUGUCUACUAAGCGAUGAACAAACACAAGAACACACAAGGGUUUAGAGUGGUUCGGGCUGCCGGAGCAUAAUACCCUACUCCACUGUGUGAUGUAUUGAGCUUGAGAGCUUGUAUGAACUUGUGAGCGUCUAAGUGUGUCUGAGUUUGAGUCUGCUUGAGUUGUAACGUUGCGUGCCUCCCCUUUUAUAGCUUAAGGGGGGCACGUACAAGGGUGCUGAGCCCCGACAUGCGGGCCCAGGGACAUAACGGAUGUAAUACUUGGAGCAACUAAUGCUGGUCGCCAGUGCAAUCUCCUUGCGCCCUGAUAUCCGCAGCCUCCGUAGUAUCGGUGUGCAGCGGAAGCUUCACGAGUGAUGAUGAGCACAGUGUAUGCCGCAGUACGGGCGUACUGUCUGCCACCGGAGUGGAUGGGCACGCCGCUUGCAGGAUGGCCUGGACGCCGCCCGUCAGCGGAGUGGACAGGGCACAUUUAUUGCCGAGACGGGACAUCGCUCGUCAGUGGAGUAGACAAGGCGCAUUUAAUGCUGAGGCGGCACAUCACCUGCCAGUUUGACAGGCGGCGCGCCUCACCCGCAAUAAAUGCGCGCGACCCAGAGCCUUACGUCUGGCUCCGCCCGUUGGCUUAUGUCACAGGCAGCUGGCCACGUGGCAGCAUCGGGUCUCCGCCUAAUCGGGGAGCAGAGGCAUACGCAAUAUGGUCCAGACACGUGUUGGCUCCGGACCCUCGCCUGGCCUUGAAUAAGGUCCGGGUACUCCUUCUCAAAGAAUCCCGGGACCUUGUUGUGAGCGGCCUGGGCCCCACAUAGGGAGGUCCGGGACCCGUCUCGAGGGUCCGAUCUGUGUAUCUAGGGGUCUGACACUUUCCCGUGGGGGUCCGGACCCACUGUUGACACCAUGGAGUAUAUUGUCUUUCUUGGCCACGUGGCGGCCCUGGAGUUGUCCACGUGGUGGGGUCAGGUACUGUUCGCCACGCGACUAACGAUAGCCGCAUGGACACCGCACCUUCAUACUGUAGUAACGGGUACCCCUGUUCCAGGGUACUGACAGUGGCCCCUGGGCCCACCUCAGGGGAGGAUACGAGCCUGCAGGUGGGGCCAAAGCUGAAUUGUCGAUUGGCGCGCUGCUUCUGUGCGCUCGCUGGCGUAAUUACUGCUAGUCCGCCCUCGAUCACGCCAACUGCCAUGCCUGUCCCCGCGGCUGACUGACCCGUGACCUCCGCACUUGAUGGUUUUGCUGGGCCACGAGCGGGGUGCCUCGAUACCGCUACAUUGGUUUUGAAAAUUUACCUUCUCUAUUUUCAGCGGAGGCCCCAAGGAGGCGCGGUACUGGCGCGUGCGGCGGUUCGACUUCUCUACACCCAGGAACCGGCGCCCAUGGAGGAUGACUCGUGGGCUCGGGCCUCCGUGUUAGAGACUAGGCUGUUGGUUUUGGCGGAGGUGAACAGGCGCACUACCGCAGACGGUGGCGUGCUCCUCACGCGACGGUUCGCCUUCCCCGCGCACGGAGGCCGACGCCCAAGGAGUAUGACUCGUGGGCCUGGGCCCCCGUGCUAGAGGCUGGGGUGCUGCUUUCGGCAGAGACUAAGAGGCGCAUUACCGCGGGCGGUGGCGUGCUCCUCACGCGGCGGUUCGCCUUCUCCACACACGGAGGCCGACACCCAAGGAGUAUGACUCGUGGGCCCGGGCCCCCGCGCCAGAGGUUGGGCCGCUGCUUUCGGCGGAGACGAAGAGGCAUGGCGGUUCGCUUCUUGCGUGGCGGUUCGCCUUCAUCGCACACGGGGACCGACGCCCAAGGAGAAUGACUCGUGGGCCCGGGGCCCCGCGCCAGAGGCUGGGUCACCCUGGCGUGCGUCGAGCGAGAUCUUCUGCGGCGUCUCGGGGCGUCAGUGGGGGAAUGUUUCUUUAAAAAGGGACUCCCUCGAGCGUGGUAGCCAUUCUCAUCACUCGCAGCGCCCUUUCGCCCUUGAGUUCUCCGCGCUCUUCUGCCGUUGUAGCCGUCAUGGCCUUGCUAGACCCUCCCGACCGCCUCCAGCCCGAGGUGCCACUCAGCUUGGUGCGCAGCCUGCUCGGAUGGGGUGUGCCGGUGUUCGCCGGAAGGAUCUGUGUCGGUGCCUCUCCUCACGGCGAUCUCACUGUCGGAGAGCUCGUGCUCUUCGUCUCCAACCUCCACAGCGGGCUGGCGCUGCCGAUUUCGUCUUUCUUCGUGCUGCUGCUGGAGGAGCUCGGCCUCCAAUCUCAGCACUUCACGCCCUGCUUCAUCCUUCAGGCGACCAUUAUCGCCUACCUCUGCAAGGUGUCUAUGGGGGCGACGCUUCUUCCCGCUUCUUCCUCCAGCAUUCGGAGGAAAGGAUGUUCACCAUCCUUAUGAAGGUGGACAACAGACUGAGCUGCGGCUCCAUCCUUCGCGCCCCAACUCUUUUGGUGGGAAGCGAGCCGUGCUGCGGCUCCAUCUCUUUGGCUUUGAUGGCUUCAGUGCCGCCUCCAAUGGUGACCGCUGGCCUAGCUGCUGAAGACGCCGCCCGGGAGGUCGUACAAGACGCCGUACGCCGUGGAGAUGGCGGCCGCGCGCUUCCAGCGCGACCCUACUGAUGUCGAGUAGGUCAUACCUGUAGACAUAAGGCUAGGGCCCCACUUGAAGGCGGAUGUAAUAACUUUGUUUUUGUAAGGUACUUUUUGAGUACUAUUUAUCGAGUAGUAUUAGCACUUAUCUGCAUACUAUUUGUCCCUGUUGUGUGUGGCGUUGCCGACUCCUACCUGGUACCUAGCCCCCCUGGGAUGUAGGCUCGACGUGUCGAGACUGGAUACCAGCAUACCUAAAAGAGUUGGGAAUGGCCCCCAGGAGGCAGCCUCGACUGGAACCUGGACCUGAACACAGCUUCGGCUAGGGAGCGUUAGUAGUACACCCAUAGGACCCAUCGUCUGACAUUAGCCAUCCUUUGAUACAUGCACGGGACCUACAGGUUUUAGUCUGGGAAGCCAAGUUGUGUGUCUGGACCCCCUGGAUCGCGAUUCCAAAUACUAGGACACCCGUCGCAGAGUGGUGGAGCGUGCAGGCUUACGGUACGGGACCAGGCUAAGCGGCUACACGGCUCCCGACCACCCAGGAGACAAGUAUCCAUUCUCUAGAGCCAGACCCCAGGUUGUCGGACCCACACGACUAUAGCUCUAAAUACUAGGGUGCCUGUCACAGAGUGGUGCAGUGUACAGGCUUUGGGUAUGGAACCAGGCUAAGCGGCUACACUGCUCCGGACCACCCCAUGGAACGAGCUCCCGUUCUUUAGAACCGGCCCCCAGGCUACCGGAGCCCCCUUCUUUCGUAGAGGGGUCCUAAACUGCAGACAUGGCUACUCAAUUCGGAUAUCAUCAUGCCGGGACAGAUGGGAACUGCAUGGGUGGGUUAGAUAAAAAAUAAUAUCUAGAAACUGCAGGAUUAAACCAUGGAGGCAGGAGGAUAAAACUGUCAUAGGAGUAUAUCUGAGGGGGUAAGUCUUCUCUUUAUAACUUGACAUGCAUGGGUGCAGACCAAUAGGCCGGGCUUAUGAGGGCGGACCUCACCGGGCUCACGUACACGUAUGCACUACCUAGUUACAAAAGGGAGAGAAACUCAACCCCUCAUACUUGCUUCUAUGGAUAGAACUUACAGAGGUGCUCCAGGGGUUAGGUAGAGGUACUCCAGCUGUAGCAAGGUGGUUACCCCUGUGUCGGCACAUUUCCGUCACCUUGAAGGGUUCCUCCCAGCUGGGGGAGCGCUUACGGAACCCUUCUUGGUUCAGUACUCGCCAUAGGGCUAGGUCCCAACCCAGGGUUCCCUACUAUGCACGAACCGUUAGUAGUGCCUGGGCGCCUGGUUGCAACGUGCAUUUUGGGUUGCUGCUUGCCCUCUGCGUUCGUCGAUGGAGUCCACAUCCUUACGAUGUGGCCGCUCCUGCAUAGAUUUAUCAAAAGACUGGACCCGUGUUGAGUCCAUAAGGGUUUCCGGGGAAAGGCAGGCUUCAGCCCCGUAGACCAGGGAGUACGGGGUCCCCCCGGCAGUCUGUCUAGCUGUCGUCACCGGAGAUAGAGCCUCCGGCGAAAACAUCCUUCAGGUCCCCCUCGGGCGACUGAUACCCGAGGUCCCAUUCAGCCACAACCACCUCGCCGUCGUCGACCCUUUCCUUGCCAGGUCGGUGGCGAGGUGGGGAGCUGUCCU
RNAcentral lists this long non-coding RNA (49630 nucleotides) under Zea mays. Its description in RNAcentral is "long non-coding RNA (ZMAY_LNC005233)". The record is from RNAcentral. Lineage: Eukaryota; Viridiplantae; Streptophyta; Magnoliopsida; Poales; Poaceae.